CUAAAAAAAGGUUGACGCACAAGCAGUGACUGUUGGAUGGCCAUCCAACGGCCUCGUGCUUCUUCAAUCUCUGCUCUUCCUACUCCAGCCGCUCAAACAAGCGCCGGCGGGACUGCCUGCUCCCUCCUUCCCGCGGCCGGCUCUGCUGCCACGCAGGCCUCACCGCCCCACCGUACUCCCAUCGCUGGCCUAGCCAUCCCUCUACUCACCCACACCUGCUGUUAUUCUCCGGCGACGGCAGACAAACCAGUAAACCCUCGUACAGUCGUACUCCCCUCCGCGUGGGAAACAACUGCCGAGUCUUCCCUGCCUCCGUGUCGUUCCCUUCCUAGGCCUCGCCGUCGUCCACCGCCCUGGUGCUCUCGGCGCGGCCUGGUCAACGUGGUCAACGACCGACAUGCAUCUGAAGUGGACUGUACGUGGAGAGGCCGACAGCUGGGUCCACGGCCGCACGCAAGGAAAUGCCUCCUUAUUACGCGCAAAAUAAUGAUUCCUCCACCUGACAUCAGGGACCCACCGAAAGGGCCUCUGUAUUUCGCGAAAAAAACGUUACCGCCGCUGACAGCUCGGACCCACCAGCUAUAUCUUCGCAUGCAAGGAAGUGCCUCCUUAUUACGCACAAAAAAAUGAAUACUCCUCCUGUUAGCUGGGACCCAGUAUAGUGGCAGGCUGACUUGUGGGCCUACUAAGUUGACGGGGACGGAGGGCUUUGUCAACUUAGUCAAUAUGCACGAUUCUAGCUCCAGUGACCGUACGAUGUCCAUCCAACGGCCGUAGUGCUUCUUCAACCUCUGGUCUUCUUGCUCUAGCCGCCCAAACUAGCGCCAGUCGUGCCUCGUGCUCCUGCCUCCCGUGGCCGGCUGCGAUGCGGCGGAGGCCUCACCGCCCCCUACUACUCCCACCGCUGGCCAGGCCAUCCCUCUACUCACCCACACCCCCUGUUAUUCUGCGGCGACGGCAGCGUCACACCGCAGCGAACCAGUGAACCCUCGUACUCCUCUACGCGUGGGCAUCCACUGCCGUGUCUUCCCCGGCUCCGUGUCGUCCCCUUCCUAGGCCUCGCCGUCGUCCACCGCCCUGGUGCUCUCGGCGCGGCGUGGUCAACGUGGUCAAGGAACGGCUUCCAUCGGACGUGGACUGUACGUGGAGAAGCUGACAGCUGGGUCCACGGCCGCAGCAAGGAAGUGCCUCCUUAUUACGUGCAAAAUAAUUAUUCCUCCACCUGACAGCGGGGACCCACCAGACGGGCCACCGUAUUUCACGAAAAAAACGUUUGCCCCUGACUGCUGGGACCCACCAGCUACAUCUUUGCACGCAAGGAAGUGCAUCCGGGCAAAAAAAAAAACGAUUCGCCCCCCUGACUGCUGGGACCCACCAGCUACAUCUUCGCAGGCAAGGAAGUGCCUGACAGUCGGGACCCACCUGGUUGAAGCGUACGUAGCGUUGUCAUUCUGGUCGCGAACGUGUACGUACAUAUAUACUGGUGGAUGUAGAGGCACGCACGUAGCAUGUACACAUACGUACAGCAGCCAGGGUGCAAGAAAGAAAAUACGUCCACGUAUGUGUACAUACGGGCGGGGUCUCGAACGCCUAUUCGCGCAUACGUACGGCCAGGGCUCGUGUACAUGGUUGGGUCGGAACGGAGAAACAGCGUCGUCGUCGUGUUCAUGGGGAGGCAACGGAAUGCGUCGUGUUCAUGGGGAGGCAACGGAAUGCGUCGUGUUCAUGGGGAGGGGUGUGGCGUACCGCAAAACGGCGUAAACGGACCUCCUACGGUCGAAACGGGGGUCCUGUUGAUCGGGAGGAGUGUGGCAUACCGCAAAACGCAGGAAACGGACCUCCUACGGUUGAAACGGGGGUCCUGUUGAUCGGGAGGGGUGUGGCGUACCGCAAAACGGAGGAAACGGACCUCNNNNNNNNNNNNNNNNNNNNNNNNNNNNNNNNNNNNNNNNNNNNNNNNNNNNNNNNNNNNNNNNNNNNNNNNNNNNNNNNNNNNNNNNNNNNNNNNNNNNNNNNNNNNNNNNNNNNNNNNNNNNNNNNNNNNNNNNNNNNNNNNNNNNNNNNNNNNNNNNNNNNNNNNNNNNNNNNNNNNNNNNNNNNNNNNNNNNNNNNNNNNNNNNNNNNNNNNNNNNNNNNNNNNNNNNNNNNNNNNNNNNNNNNNNNNNNNNNNNNNNNNNNNNNNNNNNNNNNNNNNNNNNNNNNNNNNNNNNNNNNNNNNNNNNNNNNNNNNNNNNNNNNNNNNNNNNNNNNNNNNNNNNNNNNNNNNNNNNNNNNNNNNNNNNNNNNNNNNNNNNNNNNNNNNNNNNNNNNNNNNNNNNNNNNNNNNNNNNNNNNNNNNNNNNNNNNNNNNNNNNNNNNNNNNNNNNNNNNNNNNNNNNNNNNNNNNNNNNNNNNNNNNNNNNNNNNNNNNNNNNNNNNNNNNNNNNNNNNNNNNNNNNNNNNNNNNNNNNNNNNNNNNNNNNNNNNNNNNNNNNNNNNNNNNNNNNNNNNNNNNNNNNNNNNNNNNNNNNNNNNNNNNNNNNNNNNNNNNNNNNNNNNNNNNNNNNNNNNNNNNNNNNNNNNNNNNNNNNNNNNNNNNNNNNNNNNNNNNNNNNNNNNNNNNNNNNNNNNNNNNNNNNNNNNNNNNNNNNNNNNNNNNNNNNNNNNNNNNNNNNNNNNCACGGGGUCCUGUUCAACCACCCCUCCACGGGCACCCCUCCACCGUCUACUGUUCAUCCAGCCCUCCACACCACGGGGUCCUGUUCAACCACCCCUCCACGGGCACUCCACCGUCUAUUGUUCAUCCAGCCCUCCACCACACCACGGGGUCCUGUUCAUCCAGAGGCAACGCCACCGCUCACUGUUCAUCCAAACCCCCCCGCAACGCUCACUGUUCAUCCCAGAGGCAGCAUCGAUCGGCUUCAGUUAGCAGCAGUAGCGAAGGAACCGCUCGAUCGGGUUUAGUUAACAACAAUCGAUCGAUCGCUCGGGUUCAGUAACGCGUAGCCUGCAGUGCAAUCGCUCGGGUUCAGUUAGAGCCCAACGCCUCGCUCGGGUUCAGUUAGAGCCAACGCCUCGCACACACGCGCGUACGUGUACGAGAGAAACGCGCAUCGCUCGGCCCACGACCUCCCACCGUAACCGGGAACUCCCCGAAAUUUUCCUCGCCCUCGCUUCUACCACGGUUUUCUCCGUCAUGGACGGCCCAAAGAAUGUCAUGCAGCUGCGUCUCCGGCCCGCCCAGGACGAAAAGCCCAUUUUCUGUCAUGAUUUUUUGUCAUAGAAGUAGGAGCCCACCACAUCUAUGAUGAUACCGGGUUUUGUCACAAUUAUCGUCAUAGACGUGUCAUAUGUAUGACAGAAAAAAAAUUCGUUCGGCCCAAAAUGUCACGGAUGUGUCUUUUUAUUGUAGUGUAAAAACGGCUACAGGGGCCGGUUGCAAUCCAGAGACAAGAAGUAUUGCAGGUAUUGCAAGAAAGACGGGCAUGACAUCUCAGAGUGUUUCAAGUUGCAGAACAAGGAAAAGAGAAAAGGUAACAAACAAGGUGACAAUUCUGCUAACGUUGCUCGUGAUGAUAGUUCCGAUGAUGCUCUUGUCGUUAUUACUGGAUGUGCUGAGACCAAUGAUGAGUGGGUACUUGACACUGCAUGUACUUUUCAUUUGUGCCCGCAUAGAGAUUGGUUUACUACUUUUGAUUCUACCACUACUGCUGGUUCCGUUUUGGGUUUUGAUAAUUCACCAUGCAAGAUUGAAGGCAUAGGUUCCAUUCGAAUCAAGAUGUUUGAUGGCACAAUCAGAACUUUGACAGAUGUUCGGUAUAUUCCUAAGAUGAAGAGAAAUCUUAUUUCUUUGAGUGCCCUUGAUGCAAAGGGGUACAAGUAUUCAAGUGGAGAUAGUGUUUUGAAGGUCACCAAAGGCUCCCUUGUUGUGAUGAAAGGUGACUUAUGUUCGACCAAUGGUCUUUAUUACCUUCGAGGUUCUACCAUUUCAGGUAAUGCUACUCCAGCUAUUUCAAAGAAUUCUUAUUGUGAUGCUGCUAACCUUUGGCAUAUGCGUCUUGGACAUAUGAGUGAACUUGGUUUAUCAUGUGAGCAUUGUAUCUUCGGAAAGCACAAGAGGGUGAAGUUCAACACUUCGACUCAUACAACCGAAGGUAUUCUUGAUUAUGUGCAUUCUGAUUUAUGGGGACCAUCUCACAGAAAGUCACUAGGUGGUUUCUAGUUACAUGCUGACUAUUAUUGAUGAUUAUUCGAGAAAAGUUUGGCCUUAUUUCUUGAAGCAUAAAUAUGAAGCAUUCUCAGCAUUUAAGGAGUGGAAGAUUAUGAUUGAAAGACAAACUGAAAAGAAGGUAAAAAUACUUCACACUGAUAAUGGUAUGGAAUUCUGUUCUAAGCAAUUUAAGAAUUAUUGCAAGUCUGAAGGCAUUGUCAGACAUUACACCGUUCCUUAUACUCCUCAACAAAACGGUGUUGCUGAGUGUAUGAACAAGACCAUUAUUUCCAGAGCCCGUUGCAUGUUGUCCAAUACAGGUUUGCAUAGGCGUUUUUGGGCUGAGGCCACUUCCACUGCUUGUUAUCUCAUUAACCGUUCACCAUCUAUUGCUCUUAACAAGAAAACUCCAAUUGAGGUAUGGUCUAGUUCACCUGCUGAUUAUUCACAGUUGAGAGUUUUUGGUUGCACUGCUUAUGCUCAUUUUGAUAAUGGAAAAUUGGAGCCUAGGGCUAUUAAGUGCAUCUUUCUUGGUUAUAAAUCUGGUGUUAAAGGUUUUAAAUUGUGGAAUCCUGAAACCCAGAAGGUGGUUAUUAGCAGCAAUGUUAUCUUUAAUGAAUCUGCUAUGUUCCAUGAUGUUCCAUCUACUAAUGUUCCUGUUGAGAGUGAACAGCAGCCUACUGUUCAGGUGGAGCAUGUUAUUGGAACAGGUGAUACAUCUGGUAAUGAAAUUGUUGAUGCACAUGAUGAAACCAUCGUUAAUGAUGAUAAUGUCACUCCCACUCCAAAUCAGCCUAUUGUUCCGCCCAGUUGGAAUCUCGCACGUGACAGAGUUAGACGAGGUAUUAAUAAACCUGACAGGUUAAUUGAAGAGUGCAAUAUUGUUUCUUUUGCUUUGUCUGUUGCAGAAGAAAUUGAAGGUAAUGCUGAGCCUUCUUCAUAUUCCGAGGCUAUUAUUUCUGGUGAUAGUAAUAAGUGGAUGACCGCUAUGCAUGAUGAGAUGGAAUCACUUGAAAAGAAUGCCACUUGGGAUUUAGUAAAAGUUGCCUAGAGAGAAGAAACCUAUUCGUUGCAAGUGGGUUUUCAAGAGGAAAGAAGGUGUUUCUCCUAAUGAUGAGAUAAGAUAUAAAUCAAGGUUAGUUGCUAAAGGUUGCAGUCAGAUUCCAGGUAUUGACUAUAACAAAGUCUUUUCUCCUGUUGUGAAGCAUAGCUCUAUUCACACUUUACUCAGUAUUGUUGCCAUGCAUGAUUUUGAGCUUGAACAAUUGGAUGUUAAAACUGCAUUUUUACAUGGAGAAUUAGAAGAGGAUAUUUAUAUGGAACAACCUGAAGGUUUUGUUAUUCUUGGAAAAGAAAAGCUUGUCUGUAAGUUAAAGAAAUCUCUUUAUGGAUUGAAGCAAUCCCCGAGACAGUGGUACAAGAGAUUUGAAACCUUUAUGCUCUCUCAAGGUUUCAAAAGGUCUAAUUAUGAUAGUUGUGUUUAUUUAAAAACUGUCAAUGGUUCAACUAUUUAUUUGCUCCUUUAUGUUGAUGAUAUGCUUAUUGCUGCAAAGAGUAUGUCAGAUAUUAAUGAACUAAAGAAGCAAUUGAGUAAUGAAUUUGAGAUGAAGGAUUUGGGUGCAGCAAAGAAAAUACUUGGCAUGGAAAUAUCCUAGAUAGACCGUAUGUAAAAGUAUAUCUAAGUCAGAAGGGAUAUAUUGAUAAAGUUCUUCGUCGUUUUAAUAUGCAUAAUGCCAAGCCAGUAAGUACUCCAUUAGCUGCACACUUCAAAUUGUCAUCAGCUUUAUGUCCUAAGUCAGAUGCAGAUAUUGAGUACAUGUCUAGAGUUGCCUAUUCGAGUGCAGUUGGUUCACUUAUGUAUGCCAUGGUUUGUUCUCGUCCGGAUUUAUCAUAUGCAUUGAGUGUUGUCAGUAGAUACAUGGCUAAUCCUGGAAAAGAGCGUUGGAAAGCAGUUUAGUGGAUUUUCAGAUACCUGCGAGGUAGUUCUAAUGCUUAUUUACAGUUUGGGAAAACUAGAGACGGACUUGUUGGUUUUGUUGAUUCUGAUUUUGCUGGUGAUUUGGAUAAGAGAAGAUCACUCACAUGUUAUGUUUUCACCAUUGGUGGUUGUGCUGUGAGUUGGAGAGCAACUUUGCAGUCUAUUGUGGCAUGUUCCACUACUGAUGCCGAGUAUGUGGCUAUUUCUGAGGCAUGCAAAGAAGAUAUCUGGUUGAGAGGUUUGUACACUGAGCUUUGUGGAGAUUCAUCUUGCCCUACCAUAUUUUCUGACAGUCAAAGCGCCAUAUAUCUUACAAAGAAUCCAAUGUAUCAUGAGAGGACAAAGCACAUUGAUGUCAGAUUUCAUUAUAUUCGAGAUGUUGUUGCUGAAGGCAAUUUGAAGGUAUGCAAGAUAAGUACUCAUGAUAAUCCUGCUGAUAUGAUGACAAAGCCAGUUCCUACCAAUAAGUUUGAGCUUUGCUCAAGCUUAGUUGGUAUUUCUCACUAGUCCUAUGGACUUUGACGCACGAGGUGUUUAUGCUGAUUUGGAUGGAGUUAUUUACUUUCUUCGACUACUGGAGGGAAUUUGGCUCAAGGUGGAGAUUGUUAAGUUGUGAUCCAAAUUAUACCGUGUUGGACUAGACGUAGUACAACUGGUGUGGGCCUUUGCGUUGACGUCGACGCGUACGAGUACUACUCGUUUACUUGUCCUCCAAGGACUCUCAUGUAUUGCCCUCAUACAUACCCCAUGUAGUCGCACCUAAGACGGUUUGUCGUCUCGUGCUUGUAAUAUUCCUCCAUCAUAGUGAUUGCGCCUUCGUGCGUCCGUGGUUUUCUCCCGCAAGGGUUUCCACAUAAAAAUAUGUGUCUCUCUGUCUCGUUUAUUUCUCGUUAUUAUCUAACAAUUCUUGUAAGCUUUGAUUGCAUAAAGCAAUCCGCCUGCUGCCGAUAAAGCUCCAAACGCAUAAGAACCAAUUGCCACAAAAAGUGCUUCAGCUAGCCGCCAUCGGUCACUAGCAAAGUACACAGAGAACCGUCACUAGCGGAUCAUCAGAUGUGACGGAAAUCAUGAAACUGCUAAAUUAUGUUGUACAGUCAGAACAUGUUAAUAUCUAGAGGUUCAAUAAGCAACUUUAGAAGUCAACUUCUAGAGAGCCAACUGUACAGGACCCUUUCACUGCAGAUUCAGUGAGACAGCAAGGCAUAUCUGGCCCGGUGAUAUUAGACUACCAAAAGUUACAGAAGUACUUCCUCUCGAGUCACAACAAGUGGUUGGUGAUAGAACCAUUAGUUUCUAUUCUUACACAAUCCAAGUACCAUCAAUUAGAUUGUUUGCAUAUCAGACCAAACAAACCGUACGGAAGCAGUCUAUACUGAUCACUGGAAAUAGCUUGCAGGAAUUUUGCCAGAGUAGUUUUCUCUUAUGUGAUUAACCUCCACCUACCUCCAAUCUGAAAUGCAGUAAACGGCUCUUAUCCUAAAUGGACUAACAGGCGAAGUCAUCUUCAGAAAACAAGUUGCAGAUCAAGGUUGUAGCACAUAAGAGAACAAUCAUAGAUAAGAUAUCAUGAUCUAGAGUUAAUAAUCCGCAUAGGAGGGGCGGGGGAAGAGGGAGAGGUGAUGGAGGGGCGGAGGCAAUGACGUUAAAUAUUCCAAGACGAAUAGAGCUGACCUUCUUAACCGUUUUGACAUUGUAGAUAGUGUGGUGGUCCCCUCAAGAGGCAAAUCAGGAGGUCUUUGGCUGAUGUGGACAGAAGAAGUGCAAGUUCACAUUCAUUUUGUAGACUUCCAUGUAAUCCUUGCAUCUGUAGUUAAUGUAGCUUCUGGCGUUUCUUUUGCUCUUGUUUGUAUAUAUGGUGACCCAUACCAUCAUCACACUAGUGAGAUCUGGGAUCGCAUUGCCUCUUUUGUGUAUGAUAACCAAGGCAAUCCUAUCUUAUGUAUGGGAGAUCUUAAUGAUAUACUUUAUGAUGUUGAAAAAAGUUCUCCCUUAGUGAAUUACUCACGCUUGCAUGCUUUUCGUUGUAUUGUGAAACAAUGUGGUCUAAUUGAUCUAGGAUAUAGUGGCCCUGCUUAUACUUGGACAAACAAGAGGUAUGCUUCUAACCCAAUCAUGGAAAGACUUGAUAGAUGUCUGGUUAAUGCUGAAUGGUGUGCGAUGUUUCCCAAUUCCAAUGUUUACAAUCUACCUAUUAUUCUCAGUGAUCACGCUCCUAUUCUACUUUCUACUGAUGCUCAUAUACGCAAGCCCAGAAGAAACUUUAAAUUUGAAAAUUGGUGGCUUAUGGAAAAUGAUUUUCAUGAAUAUGCUAAAAAUGUUUGGAUUGCUUCUAGGAAUAAAGUUUUCCACAAUAGGACAACUAACCUUGUAGGAUCUUUGAGAGCUUGGUGCAGAAAGAAAAAGUCAAUUCAAUAGGAGCUGGAAAUCUUAGGUGAGCAAAUCAAAAGUAUUCAAAUAAAGCCACCACAGGUACAUAAUCACUCUCUUGAGGCCUCUCUGAUUUAUAAGUACGAGCAAAACAUGACUAGGUUAACUGAGUAUUACAGGCAAACAUCUAAAAAACAUUGGGCUAUCAAUGGUGAUAGAAACACUACUUAUUUCCAUCAUGCUGUUCUUAAAAGGAGGAGGAAAAACAGAAUUGUUUCUAUUAAGGAUGAGAAUGAUAAUAUUCAAAUUGAGCCUCAUGUUAUUGCCAAGACUUUCAUCAAUUAUUUUCAGAAUCUUUUUUCCUCCUCUAAUGUGAGUCAUGGCAAGCCUUACAUGCGCACAUCCUAUCAGCAAGAUGAAGGCGAUUUUACUUAUAGCAUCCCCGAUAAAAAAGAGAUUCUGGAGACCUUAAAAGACAUGAAAAGGAAUGCUUCACCGGGACCAGAUGGAUUCAAUGUGGAGUUCUACUUUGCAGCAUGGGAAUGGAUAGGUGAUGAUAUAACCAAGGUAGUCAAAGACUUCUACAUACAAGGUACUCUCCCUAAUCACAUGAAUGAUACUCAUAUUGUUUUGAUUCCCAAGAAAAUUGCUCCCCUGGUCCCUCAAGAUUUUAGACCAAUUAGCCUUUGCAAUGUGAUUUACAAGAUCAUUGCUAAAACACUUGCAAACAGGCUUAAACCACAUUUGUCUAACUAUAUUCAUCACUCUCAACAAGCUUUCAUUCCUGGUAGGAGGAUUAGCAAUAACAUCAUCAUUGCUCAGGAAUUUACUCAUUCCUUUAAUCUUAAAUCUUGGAAAAUCCUGCUUUUAUGGUUAAAAUAGAUCUUGCUAAGGCCUUUGAUAGGAUCGAAUGGGAUUUCAUUGUUAAGGCGUUAACUCGUAAGGGGAUGCAUGCUCAUUUCAUAAAUUUAAUAUAUGCUUGCAUGGCUAUUCCCACCUCCUCUGUCAUCAUUAACGGUCAAUCUUAUGGCCGCUUUCAGAGUAGUAGAGGUAUCAGGCAGGGUUGUCCAUUGUCCCCUUAUUUGUUUGUCUUGGCCAUGAAUGAGCUAUCAGCAUCUUUGUAGGAAGCCAUGUUCGCUGACCACUUAUCAGGAAUUACUCUGGGACCAGGAUGCCCACCUAUUCACUCCUUAAUAUUUGCUGAUGAUUUACUGAUAUGUGGUCAUGCCAUAGUUACAAAAGCUACUCAUAUGCACCAAAUCCUUCAAAGCUUUUGCAACGUUUCAAGGCAAAUGCCAAACUGGAGCAAGUCAGCUAUUAUUUUCAGCAGGAAUGUAGACGACAUCAAUAAGGAGGAUAUUAAGAGAAUUUUCCCGGUGCAGGAAAUUAUCGACAAUUCUAUCUAUUUAGGGCACCCAUUAAUUCUCCCUGAUAAGGAUAGAUCUAGUGCCUAUAACUUUGUUGCUGAUAAGUUUAAAGUUAAAUUGACUGGUUAUAAGGCUAAUAUACUUUCACAUGCAGUGAGAUUAACUUUGAUCAAUUCAGUUUUUGCUUCCAUACCUGUAUACUAUAUGUCAAAUAUACUUUUCUCAAGAAAACUAGUUGCCAAACUUACUACUAUCAUUAGAAUUUUUUGGUGGACAGGAAUAAAAGAAGAUCAAUCCAAGAGAGCUCUUUGUUUCAGGGCAUGGAAGGACAUUUGCACCCCAAAAGUAGAAGGGGGUCUUGGAGUCAAGAACAUCCAAGCAGUUAACAGAGGCCUAAUCAUGUCGGCGGCUUGGAGAAUUACGGACGAACCACAAAGCUUCUUGUCACAGGUACUUAAAUCUAAAUAUUUCCUGAGACUUCUAUUUGGAGAGCAAAAAGCAACAUUGCAAAAUCAGGUUUUUGGGCUUCAAUUCUUAAGGUAAGACACAUUCUUCAAUCAAAUUCAAUCUAUGAAAUUCUUGAUGGCAAUUCCUCCAUUUGGAGCACUCCUUGGUUUCCUCAUUGGCAAUCUAUUUAUGAGCACUUAAAAAUAGAAUCGGGGCAUUAUGUCUAUCCUUCUCAGAUCAAGGAUUUAUGGAACCAAAAUCAAAGUACAUGGAAUGCUAGACUUAUUUAUAAUCUUUUUGAUCAUGAGGUGGCUAAUAGCAUCAUACAGGUACCGAUUAUUCAACAAGAGGGAAUUGAUAUCCUUUGCUGGAGAUUGCGUCCUUUAGGGAAAUGUAUUUCAAAAUAUGCUUAUAAAGCAUGUCUUCAAGACUUGCAACAGCAGGGGUCUCCAUUGCCUAGACAGGUACCACAAGAGAUUAAACAACUACUCAAGCAGGUUUGGAAAGAGAAGACUAUGGUUCCAAGAGUACAUGCUUUUGCUUGGAGGCUAUUGAGGAAAGCACUUCCAACAGGUAUGAGAGCAGGGAAAUAUUCCAAACAUAUUAAGCAAAGUUGCAUUAGAUGCGAACAGGAUGAAGAUGACAUGCAUCUUUUCUUUACUUGCCCCUUUGCUAGAGCAGCUUGGGUAGCUCAUCCUUGGUUUAUUAAAUCUGAAAUUCUUUCUAACAAUUAUGCUAGUAUUGCAGAUAUUAUCAAUGCUCUUCUUAACUCAGGGCAUCCACAGGCCUAUCUCACAAAUAUAAUGACUUUUCUUUGGUGCAUAUGGAAAGCGAGGAAUGAUUCUCUUUUCGUCAGGAAAGAGACCAAGCCUAUACAGGUAUUCCAAAUUAUGCAGGCCAUUCUAAAUAAUUAGGAGUUAACACUUCAAUCAAAACAAGCAGGGUAGGGUAUUAGUCAAGAUGAGCAUAGCAACAACGUACUCCUAAGAUCACAACAACAGGAUAUAAUGCAAGCUACUGGCCCAAAUUGCAAAGUCUUUACGGAUGCAGCAUGGAAACCUGAUACACAAAACACCACAUGCAUAGGAAUUUUCAUACAGAUGGCUGGAAAACAUCAAGAAGUCAAUAUCAGUAUUCGUUUAUCCGAGGAGCAAAUCGCGUCGCCUCUCCAAGCAGAAGCUACAACACUUCAAGUAGCUGCCCAAGUGAUCAAUACAAUCACAACAGGAGACACCAUCUUCUUCACGGAUAAUCAAGUUUUGGCUUAGGCUACACAAGCAAGAGAUAUCCUUAAAUGCCCUGGUCAUUGGGAGAUUAGAAGCCAACUGGCAAAUUUCUUUAGCUCUACUAGCAAGGCUCAGAUAACCGUUAGACACAUUCCCAGGGAGCUUAAUAGUAGGGCUCACAACAAUGUGGCUAGAGCAUACUUCUCAGAAUCAAAUAUUAGUCCUAUGCUUCUGAAGCUAGGCAAUCAUCAGACAUUGUAAAACCAUGGUUGUAACUUGUUCUUCAUAUUAAUGCAUAGGCGCCUAAGGCGCCACUUCUUUGUCCAAUUUUUUUUUUUAAAAUAAAAUAAAAUUAUGGAACCACGGGUUCUGCACCGUUUCCUUUUAUUUUUCAUAUAUAGAACAAAAAAAAGAAGGGAAACGUUGAGCGUCAACCGGUUGAAAUCAAUCAACACGUCCGCCACCUCCUUUAAGCAUCACAUGCCCUCAAGGCCCCACUCAAGGAAACACGAGGAGAACCUCUUCGUGUAGAAAACAUCAUGUUCCUCUCUACGUCUCUCAUCUAUAUGUUUUCUGCAACAUUACAUAUGUUGUAAAAGUUAUUCCACAACACUACCCUUGUUGUACAAAAAAAAGAGAAGACGGAAUAAAAAUCCUGCAACACAACCUAUGUUGCAAAAAAUAAACCCUGCAACACAACCUAUGUGGCAAAUAAAUAUAUUCCCGCAACACAACUUAUGUUGCAAAAAAAUUGACAACGCAACCUAUGUUGCAAUGUUUCUGCAACAAGAGUUUUGUUGCAAAGUAGAAGAAGACGUCCGGCUGCUAAAUAGAUCAGAUCUGAUGGUCCGCAAGGCGACGGAUCAUUUAAAAAAAUCUGUCGGCCGACGCGUAGCAAGCCCCCAAAAAGAAACAUUUUCUUCUUAUAAACCAAAAAAAAACAUUUGAGAUAGGAUAAGUAAACCACCUCAUCCGGGAAGGAUACAUUUUUGGAAGCAAUUUGUCGUCAGAGCAUGUGGGUCUCUACCGUCAGCUUCUUCAUGUAGAUUGUAGAGUCAUCUUCCGAGGGCUCUCGUUUGUUUACCACAUUGACCACACUGUGUCAAGCACAUCAAGGCGAUGGGAACACGAACAAUUUUGACACCUAAACAAAAUUUUGAAACCUGAACAAUUUUUUAGAAAGUAUUCCCGCUUCAAUAUUUUAUUCAGGUUUCAAAUUUUGUUCCCAUUUUUCUAAAAAUAUAUGUUUGAAAAAAAUGUGUUUUAAAAAGCUGUUCGCACUUUAAAAUUUUGUUCAGGAUUCAAAAAUUUGUUCCCAUUUUUUACAAAAUAUGUUUAUGUUUCGAAAACUCGUUUGCACUUUAAAAUGUUAUUCAGGAUUCAAAAGUUGUUUGCACUUUAAAAUUUUGUUCAGGAUUUAAAGUUUGUUCCAAUUUUUCACAAAAAAGUAUAUGUUUCACAAAUGUUCAUGUUUUGAAAAAUUGUUCGCACUUUAAAAUUUUGUUCAGGUUUAAAAAAUUGUUGCUCUUAAUAAAAUAUUCGGGGAUUUCGAUAAUGGUUCAGGUUUUCAAAAUUUCUUUGUGAUUCCAAAACAUGUUCAUAAUUCAAAAACAAAUUCACAUUUUUGCAUAUAAUGUUUGGAAUUUUGAAAAUUGAUUGUUAGUAUUUAGAAUAUUAGGAUUUCGAAAUUAUUCAUAAUUUUCAAAAAAAUCUGAAAAAUAUUUUAAAAAUAUAUGUUUUCAAAUCUCAACGCUGCGGUAUAUGGUUAAACAUUUUCGCGCUUCUCAUUUGUAACCAAGAGUCAUUAGUUAGAGUGGAUAGCAGGAGUAGUUCAGCAGCUAGGUCGCAAUGUGAGUAUCACGUUUUUUUUCUUCGUAUUUUUGAAGUGUCAUCUUACUAAAAAGAAAAACAUGGUUCGCGUCUGGUGGACCGGCUCGGUCGCGUUCAGACGCAAAUCGACCUGCUACGGCAACAAUCCCGUUGAGAACACGUUCAAGGUUCAAAAUUGACCUGUAUCAGAGAGUUUGAUGUGCUGAUUUCAGGGAUUUAAACUUCUACGUUGGAUUUAGCCUUCGUCUACGAGUUCAAGGUUUAUUUUGGGUGUUUUUCUCAAAUCUCGAGGAGCCUUAGACACUCGCAUAUAAAAAAAUGAUAAACGCAUUGGCUUAUUACGGGGAGAUUACGGGCCCUUCCUUCUAAUUCUCUUCAACCCCUGAUUUUCAGGUGGGUAGGGCCCCUCCCUCUCCCCUAAUCCAAUAAGCACCUAAGAAGUUACAAACACUACGUAAAACCCCCGUGUUAUUCAGUGGAUGUAGCAUUGUUGAAAAAAAAGGCAAAUUGUGUUAGGCGGGCAACGCACAUGCACCAACACAUCAAAAUCUAAGGGCAUGUACAAUGGUUAAUAAAAACGUCUUAUCUUAAACUUGCAUGUAAUUCAGAUAUGACAAUAAGUACAUGGCUAAAAUGAGUUAUCUCUUAGUCUUAUCUUCAAUAACUACUAUUCCUAAAAAUAUGGUUAGACAUAUUAUGCUAAGAAACCAUCUCUUAAAUAAGAGGAAACAAACUUUUUCUUAUGAUUUCUUUCUUUUCCACCUUAGCAUUUAUCUUAUAUGGAACCGUUAAGAUGGCACCAUUAUACAAUUAUACAUGCCUAAGGCUAGUCAUAGUGGGAGUAACUUAGCUAGUAACAUAACGCACUCUAAGAAAUUGUUGCUUAUGUGACACAUAUUUAAUGAGAAGUGGUAACAUAAUAUGUUACUAUAACAUAACGCUUCCCAAGACAAGAUGAGUCUACAAGGUAAUAAAUGAAGUUCUCUAUGACACUACUACUAUAUUACUUUGCAUUAUAAAGGUAGUAACUUAGGGGGUGUUUGUUUCCAGGGAUUUUUUUGUGUAGGGACUAGAAAAAAUCCCUCUUAGAGACUUUUUUACCAAACGGGAGGGGCCCUACGCGAGGUCGAGGGACGCGACGGAGUCCAAGGUCAUCCUCCCGGCGACCCCGGCGUGGUUGUGCAGGACGUCGAGCCGGCCGUGGCGCGCCACCGCGAGGUCGACGGCCGCGGCGAUCUGCUCCUCGUUGGUCACGUCGCAGCGGGCGUAGGAGGCGUCGGGGCCGAGCUCGGCGGCGACUGCGCGGCCGAGGUCGUCCUGGAUGUCGGUGAGGAUGACCUUGGCGCCGUUCCUGACGAACUCCGCGGCGGUCGCCUUGCCCAUGCCGCUGGCGGCGCCGGUGAUGAUGGCCUCUAGCCUGCACCGUUCUCCCCACAGCAAACACACUUAAUUGCGGCCUCUAGCCUGCCAUUGGCGACGCCACGGCAUAACUCAAACGAGAACCAACAAGAGGAAACUAAGAUUCCAUGGUAAUAUGGCAUGGCAUGCACCUCUCGGAACUCGGGCCCGACGAGAUUGCCACCGCGGCGGCGCUCAUCUUACCCCUGCAUUCCCAACCACAUCAGUUUGGGAGGCACGAAAGCUCUGGUGUUCUUCCAAGAGGCAGAGAUUCAGUAUGCAGUUUAUUUGAAACAAAAUACUAGUACCUCAGAAGAAGAUGGUGCGCCAUUGCUCUAAACAUCUUAAGUAGAUUGUUCUAGCUAGCUCUGCUGAUUUGCAUGUGAUAAGCUAGCUAGCUAUAGCAGUGAGCCACUCAGUUCAGUACGGUCGUGAGCAGAGCAGUACUAAUUGCUUUAAAUUAUGACGAGGAGAGGACUGGAGAGACGGUGGCAGACCACCAAACAGGAUGAACAGUGGGUAUUGUACUAUCUCAAUGUUUGGGUAUUGUACUAUGUUUCUUUUAAGGCAAUUUGUUGCCAAGGCUUAAACUUUCUAGCGACGUGAAAGCAUAGAUUUGAUCUCUGAUGGAAAAAAAUAGUGCAACUAUCUAUACCCAAUAAUCAGAUAAUCAAAAUCUUGGUGCUGAUUGAAAAUCUAAAAGAAAAAAAACUCAACCAAAAUGAAAAGAGAAUAUCAAUAGCCAUGUAGGUCAGAAACGCAGGACAUUUUUUUUCAAAUCACAACAGAAUAUAUUUGAAAACAUAUUUCUUACAGUCCAUGCAGCUACAAACCAAACCACACUAAUUAUAGUUACUUUUAAUCUACGUUAAUUAUAAUUUACAUUAUUUUGGUUACACACUCCCUUCACGACACCCUGAGUUAUACUCCCUCUGUAAAGAAAUAUAUGAUCGUUCAGAUCACUAAUCUGUAAAGAAAUACUCCCUCUGUAUCUUAUAUUUCUCUACAGAGGGAGUAUAAGUGUUUAGAUCAAUAAUAAUGAUAUAAACACUUUUAUAUUUCUUUACAAGGAAGUACCUAGUGUAGAAAAAACAUACAUUGAAGGAACAAUCAAUGCUUAUAACAGGAGAAAGAAAAGCACGACAAAAAGAACAUGCAAGUGCACCUGUCUAUUAGAGUAAUGCUAGACCUACUUAAAGUAACGUAUGGUUUUUACGUGAUAGAAAACGUGGAGACUUGGGAUUGGAUUGAAUGGGGUGGGAUGGUCCCACACCCAUGAAAAUCAGGAGGGCAAGAGAAUUAAUUAGCUAGGUUACGUAGGAUUUAGUAGAUGAAUUACGUAGGUGUAGCAUUUUCGUGUCUAUUAUGAAGCUGUCUGUCAAUAUAUAUAUCUGCCCUUUGGAAAUGUAUGCCGUAAGAUCAGGAGUUGGAUGAGUGAUAUCUGUUGAGGAAACGAACAAAAGGUUAGGCAUGACAAUACGAUCUACAGGGAAGCAAGACUACUAAUCCACUGGGUAGAAAUCAAACCUAAAAUUUAUUGGUUGAGGAGCCCACAUGACCCCCUUCUAAUAUUGCGACAGGGCAAAUUCUUUAGAAGAAAAAUUAUUAGGUCUAUAUGUGUUGUAUUUGAAAUCGAACAAUCUAUUUUUUUUGCUAAAACCUCUAGUAUGUAGGAUUUCAAAAAGGAAUUCCCACUUCAGACAGUCAUACUCGUUUUUGUAAUCAAGUUUGAUGAUCACCGAUGGUUCUUUCGCUUGGUGGAUGCUAUGUACCACUUCGUGAGCCACCACAAGACUUUCUAGAAUAUUUCUACCUCUAAUGAAAGUGUUUUGCUACUGAGAAAUCAGUUGUUGAGUAAUCUUUCCAUGCAUACUUUAUUUUCAAGGUCGCAUUAUAGCUAUCCAUGUCAAUUUUUACUUUCGAGGUGGAACCAUAAUGGUAAUGCUAGGUAUAUUUGACCACAAGGAUAAAAUACUUUGAGGUGCAAUGACAUAAUUAGAUUUAGAUAACAAACUAGGUGAAGGUGGUUUUGGCACAGUAACCACCAACUACUCAUCGUUAAGAGACUAUCACAAAGUUCUCGACAGGGGAUAAACGAGUUGACAAUGGAGUUGCUUUUGCUUGCUAAGCUACUACACAAAAACUUAGUGAGAAUUGCCGGUGCUCGUUUUGAGGAGCAGGAGAACUUGAUUGUUUACGAGUAGCUCCCCAACAAGAGUCUAGACGACCACAUCUAUGCUAUGUUUUUUUGUUACUCUUGGUCAUAGUACCAUGGCAAUCCGUCUAUGGCGUGUCGUGCAGGGGCGGAGCUAUGUGUUAGCCUGAGAGGGCCAUUGCCCCCCUCCCCCACCCCCACACAUCUUUAAACCAAGUUGUGAACAAAAAGUUUAUGGGAGGGCUUAGAUGAAAAUCUUCAAGCAUCCUCCCACCACAAACACUCAUAUUCUAUCUUUUCCCUCCCUAGAAGGUGUUGUGCAUGCAUUUUUAGAUACAAAUGUCCUAUUUGACUGUGACGAAACGAAAAAUCUCAUACUUUGGGUUAGCAAGGGGUUUUGGAGGCAACAGAUCACACGAGGUGAGACACAAGGUGUACUCCCGAGGAUCAUGACACCUUUGACCUCUGAUCUAAUCCACCAAGUCGCCCGGUGAGUGGUCCAUGAUCAUAGUAGAGGCGUCACUGAAGGUCAUGCACCUGCUCGUACACACUAAGACUGGCGCAACGACGCACGCCAGUCAUGAUAUAGUACAUACUAAGAGAGGUAUGUACUAAGACAUCUUAACUCUUCCAAAUACUACCUCCGUCCGGGAUUAAAAGUUACACAAUAGUAACAUAGUUACACACUAAUCAUGUGGCAGGCGCAAGGAUCUCGAGAUGUCAGCCCAAAAUUCCCUGCACGGUUAGCCCAAUACCAGGCGGGGAUCAUGUAGUAUUGGUCUAACAGUCUCACAAAGAUGAAUGCAACACAGGCGAUCGAGAAAGUUGAACCAUCCUGCACAGUUGAGCAUUGAGGCCGGAGUUGUACGACCUAAGGGCCAAGCCNNNNNNNNNNNNNNNNNNNNNNNNNNNNNNNNNNNNNNNNNNNNNNNNNNNNNNNNNNNNNNNNNNNNNNNNNNNNNNNNNNNNNNNNNNNNNNNNNNNNNNNNNNNNNNNNNNNNNNNNNNNNNNNNNNNNNNNNNNNNNNNNNNNNNNNNUUUUUAAUUAUUGUAGAAGCGAACGAAAUCAUUGAUCAUAAACAUCCAAUAAUGUUGUAUUUUCUUCAAAUGGAUAGCAGAAGAAUCUUUUUAUUUUGUACACGACAUCAGUUGUUUAGCUUGAUGAGGCGCGCGGUGAGGCUAGGAGGCUGCUAACUAUGCACACGUGCAUCUCUUAGAGUAUGACAAUGGCAACAAGUGCACUUCCGUUGCAUGCUCGAUCACUUAGCUGAGCUGGCUACCUGUCAAUCGUCGUCACUCUCUCGCUCUCUUUGAUCCAUCGUCAGCUGAGCUCGCCCUCCCUCUCUCACGCUCUUAUCUCUCCAUCAGAUGUAGCUGAAAGCUGAAUAAAACUGUUGCCUAUUGAUGAUUUGGUGCGGCAUACAAGAGUAUAUAAGAGGGUACAAACCGACUUGGGGUAGGGGUACAAAACUGACUUGGACUAGAAGUCGUAUACCAUAAUGACUACUCUAACAUCCCCCCGCAGUAUCAACGGCAGGCUCGACGACGUUGAGACUGAAACAUAUAUCUUGAAACGGCUUAGUAGGCAGUGCCUUGGUGAAAAUGUCAGCAAACUGAGCCGUAGAGGGAACAUGAAGCACCCGAACCUGACCAAGAGCAACCUUUUCACGAACAAAAUGAAUAUCAAUCUCAAUAUGCUUUGUGCGUCGGUGUUGAACUGGAUUGCUAGUCAUGUAGACUGCUGAUAUGUUGUCACAGUAGACAAUAGUGGCCUGCUCAAUAGGCCUGUGUAGCUCGGAGAGUAACUGCCGAAUCCAGAUUGUAUCUGCAAUGGCAUGUGCCACAGCGCGAUACUCAGCCUCGGCCGACGAAUGUGAGACUGUAACCUGUCUUUUCGAAGACCAACAAAUCAAAUUGUUACCAAGAAAAACACAAAAACCGGAAGUGGACCUUCGAGUGUCAGGACAACCAGCCCAGUCUGCAUCAGAGUAUGCGGUAAGCGAGUUUGGAGAAGAAUUAUUGAGGUGGAGACCAUGAUUGAGAGUUCCUUUUAAAUACCGAAGAAUGCGUUUAACAUGAUUAUAGUGAGGAACCCGGGGAUCAUGCAUAUAGAGACAUGCUUGUUGAACAGCAAAAGAGAUUUCAGGACGAGUAAUGGUGAGAUAUUGGAGAGCACCUGUUAGGCUACGAUAGAGAGUAGGAUCGGAAAAGGGUUCACCGGUAGCCGAAAGUUUAAAACUAGUAUCGACAGGAGUGCGAGAUGAUUGACAGUCAAGCAUACCAGCACGAUUAAGAAGAUCAAGAAUAUACUGGCGUUGGGAAAGAAAAAGGCUGGAGGAAUCUCGAACAACAGCAAUGCCUAAGAAAUGAUGAAGGAGUCCUAGGUCAGUCAUAGAAAACUCAGAUCUAAGAAGAGAGACAAUAUGAUCUAAGAACUUUUGAGAGGAGGCGGUAAGAAUGAUGUCAUCUACAUAGAGAAGUAAAUAGGCAGUGUCAGAAGUUUGAUGAUACACAAAAAGAGAGGUGUCGGAGAGAGAUGGAGUGAAGCCUAUUGUUUGAAUGAAGGAGGAGAAGCGUUGAAACCAAGCUCAUGGGGCCUGUUUAAGACUGUAGAGAGAUUUCUGAAGAAGACAUACAUGAGUUGGAAAGGAUGGAUUUUCAAACCCCAGAGGUUGCUGGCAGUAGACAGUUUCUUGAAGGGAACCAUGGAGGAAAGCAUUUUUAACAUCAAGUUGGUGAAUGGGCCAUGAAGCGGAGACAGCAACACUAAGAACGGUGCGAAUGGUGCUAGGUUUAACAACAGGAGAGAAGGUUUCUUCGUAAUCAAUUCCUUGUUGCUGAGAAAAGCCACGACAAACCCACCUGGCUUUAUAUCGUGAGAGGCUCCCAUCGGAGUGGAACUUUUGGCGAAAAAUCCAUUUGCCAGAAACAAUAUUUGUAUUGGGAGGACGAGGAACAAGUUGCCAGGUGUUGUUUUGAAGUAAAGCAUUAUAUUCUUCUUGCAUGGCAGCGGCCCAAUUGGGAUCAAGUAGAGCAGUUUUGUAAUUCUUUGCAAGAGAAGUGAGAGAUACGGAGGUAUGAAGGUUUAGGCGGUCUUGGGGUUGAUGAAAUCCUGAUUUGGCCCUAGUACACAUGCGAUGAUCAUUAAUCAGGGCUGCUGUAGGAAUAGCACGAGGGGGUAAGGUGGGUACUGGUGAGUCCGGCGCAGCGAAAGAGUCGGACAAAGGAGUAGGGCUGGGUGGUGGAGUGGGAGCGGGGCUGGGUGGUGGAGUGGGAGUAGGGGCCGGGGGUGUUGGGGAGGGAGCAAGGGUCGGGGGUGUUGGGGACGUCUCGGGUGGGGUGAGUGUAUGGUUGGGAUUGGCUAUGGUGGGUGUUAAUGGUGGUGGUGAUAAGUUGUGUUCGGCAGGUAGGGGAGUAUAUAGUUGGAAAGGAUGGGGAGAGGGGGUGUUUGCGGAGUUAGGGGUGUUGGAUGGUGUAGUAGUGCGUUGUGAGAAAGGAAAAAUGUGCUCAGCAAACGUGACAUGACGAGAGACAUGAACGUGUCCGGUGUGAAGGUCGAGACAGCGAUAGCCUUUGUGCUCGUCAGAAGCCGAGAAAAGCACAUGGGAUAGAGCGUGGUGACAGUUUAUUUGCAGAAGUGGUGUAGGCAUUGGGAAAACAGAGACAGCCGAAAACACGAACCGCGGAGUAGUCGGUGUGGGAAAGAAAGAGGGAAUAAUAGGGAGUAGUGUUGGGUUUAGUUUUAUAAGGUCGAAUAUUUAGAAGGAAGGUGGCCAUGUGUAGGGCUUCAGCCCAAAACUUGGGAGGCAUAGCUGAUUGAAUGAGGAGAGUGCGAACUAUAUCAUUGAGGGUGCGAAGAGAGCGUUCUGCUUUACCAUUUUGAGGGGAGGUGUAGGGACAUGAGAACCUAAGCAGGAUGCCAUGUUGUAAGAAGAAAGUAUGAUUUUUAAUGUUAUCAAACUCGCGACCAUUGUCACAUUGGAUAAAGCGAAUUGGGAGGAAGAAGUGAACAGACACAUAGCGUUGAAAAUUAAGGAAAAGAGAAUGGACCUCGGAUUUGUUGCGUAGAGGAAAAGUCCAGACAAAGUGGGUGAAAUCAUCUAGGAUAACAAGGUAGUAUUUAAAACCCGAAACACUUGCAAUGGGAGAGGUCCAUAAAUCACAAUGUAUUAAUUCAAAGGGAUAAGUGCUCAAGAACUAGAGGAACUAAAGGGAAGACGCACAUGUUUGCCUAAUUGACAAGACUCGCAAUACAUAGAAUUAUGAGAGUCCCUAUUACAUGGUAUGGUAAAUUCACUAAGCAUAGAAGCUAAGACGGCGGGGUUGGGAUGGCCCAAGCGACGAUGCCAGAGAUCGACGGAGGCCAGCAUGGAUGUUGGAGGGGUGGCGGCAGGAAUUCCAUUAAGAGAAUAAAGAUCACCGGAGCUAUUGAAGCGAGCGAUCUCGGCCUUGGUCAGGUAAUCCUUCACAGAUAAACCAAAAGGGUCAAAUUCAGCCGAAACUAGAUUGUCGCAAGUAAAUUGGCGAACAGAGAUAAGAUUUUUAAUGAGGGCGGGUGCAACUAGAACAUCGCGAAGUAAAAGAGGUUUGGUGGAAGAGGGAAGUUGAGCCUGACCAACACAAUAUAUAGGAAUAGAUGAUCCAUCUCCAAGGAUAAUGGAAGGGAAAGGAGAUUUAGUGCAAGAAGAUAACCAAUUACUAGAUGCAGACAUAUGACUAGAGGCCCCUGAAUCAAAGAUCCUAUCCGUACCUGAGUUUCCUUGUGCAGCAAAGUUAUUCAUGGCCUGGAGAAAGGCAGCUUGAUCCCAGCUCGGCGUCGCAGGUGAGGGUGGCGUCGGAAGCAGUGCCGGCGGAUACGAUGGUGAAGGCAGUAGGGUCGGCUGGGGAGUGUAGUAGGCAUUGGCCGGCUGUGGUGGGGGUGCCGUCGGGAGCAGGGCCGGCUGAGGUGUGUAGUAGGCGCCGCCGUCGGUGUUGUAAUGACCAUAAGGAGCAUACGUCGGGGCGGCGUGAUAGGCAUUGGCCGGCUGUCGGGGGUUGAGAACCCCGGGAGCUCCAGUAGGCGGCCGAAGGCCGGGUUGCCAGGCACCUGAGUAUGCCGGCGGAGCACCGAGGGUGGACGGAGCGGACCAGGGCAUGGGCCAUGCUUGAACAAGCCCCGUCCAAGGAUCAUGAGGAGGCCGCCAUGCAACCGCAGAUGGAGCACUGGUGAGUGGUGCAGGGCUCGGUGCUGGUGAUGUUGUAGGCGGAACCGAACUAGUCGACGGCGGCCUGUAGAUAGGGUUUUUGCCGCGGUAGUUCGGACUAGGACGCCAGCCUGGGGGCGGUUGAACAGAUGACGAUGCGGACGGCCCGGCGGCAGGAGCCGGCCUGGAAGGCGGCGCUGGUGUAGACGACAGAGGAGGACGAGCCACAGCAUGAAAGACCUUGGGGCGAGAGUCCUUGCGAGCUUGUGUUUCCGCCGCGAGUUGUAGCAAGGAACGAACUUCAGCGAAGGUAGGAGGGGGCCGUAUCAUCGGUAUGAGCGAGGCUUGCUUGUCAAAGUCUUCGCUGAGGCCGACGACGACGAUAUUUAUUAGCUGUGAGUCGCUAACUGUAUCGCCGAGUUCGCGGAGCUCAUCACCAAUGGUCUUAACGCGCUGGCAGAACAGGUUCACCGAGGCGUCUCCUUGCACCAUAUUGCGAAGCUCGGUGUGGAGAGCGUUUUUUCGAGCGUCGGUGUUGCUUUGGAAGAGCUGACGGAGGGAGUGCGAGAUGUUGGCAGCGGUGGCACCGUCGUGAUCGAGCAUGUUGAAGAUCUCGGUGGUGAUGCGGGUGUAGAACCACUGGACGAUCGCGAGAUCGUCUUUCAAUCAUUGCGGAUCGUCGGGUCGGGGAAGACAGUUGGCGGCGACAUAUGAGCGCAGGUUGCAGGGGCCGAGGUGGAGAUCGAAGAGAUGUCUCCAAUGGUAGUAGUUGUGGGCGGCGAGAUCAAGUACUAUGAGGAUGUAGGGGCUGACGUCGGAGAUUGUGUCAGCAAGAGAUAUUGGUGCGGCGAGGAUGGGUGCAGGGUAGUUUUGUGGAGCUAUGGUGAGGGCCGAGAGAGAAGCGGCCGCGGCGUUGGCAGCCUUGGCGAUGAGUGCGUUCCGGUGCUCGAAGUAGCCGGGCGGCGGCGGCGGCGGUGGCGUUGGCGGAGCCAUACCCUAAACCCUGGGACCGGUAUCUGAUACCAUGAAAACUGAAUAAAACUGUUGCUUAUUGAUGAUUUGGUGCGGCAUACAAGAGUAUAUAAGAAGGUAUAAACCGACUUGGGGUAGGGGUAUAAAACUGACUUGGACUAGAAGUCGUAUACCAUAAUGACUACUCUAACAGUAGCUAUGGGGGCCUCCUACCUCGCAUCAACCAUACUGUUGGACGUCUCUCUUGCCCCGUCACUCGUCGCCGUCCUCCACACCUUCUGCAGAGCAACUGCCAACAUCUAUGCUGUCAACGGUACCUUCCAGGCCAACAUUGAACACCUCCCAGUGACGGUCCCGAGGAAUGCCUCCUCCUCUCGAGCGCUCUGAGCCACCGCCAUGGUCGGACUGCUCCGGGCUAGUCAAAUAUACAUUGUAUCUGCCACUAACCGACUACCGAACAUGUCUGUCCUAUGUACUCGACUGCCGGGUCAACCACUUCUGCAGCGAGGCGCGGAGUUGCAUAUGGUCAAUCUCGUCGGAUGUGGCUUCGUCCACGACCAGUACGGGUUCUUCUCCAGCAGCCCGCGGCUUCCUCCAGUGGUCAAUGACUGAUCUGUUAUAUCAACCGUAACAUUAUGCUCAGCAGCACCAGCACACUCCUCGGAGAUUAGACUUGGGCCCUGAUGCAUUCGAGAUGGCAGCUUCGGCAGCAGAGAAGGUUACUACUGUUAGGAAUAAACUUUAGACAUGACAUGUAACUGAUCUUGUGCCUAGCAUUAGACCACCUAAACAGAUUAACAAAGAUGGGUUUGUGAGAUUUCUUACAAGUACUGAGGGAAACCUCCUGCAUCCUGCCUGCUUGGUGUUGCCCUUAUGUGCCUCGUGAGAAUUGUUGGGGAAGAUGGGCAACAGCAGGUCACGUAGAUGGCAGCCGGAAGCCGCCGGCACAGCCCUGCGGCGGCCGGUGGUGGAGACGGUAUUCUGAUCCCUUUAGCCCCCCUUUUAGGAUCGGUAGUUGAGGUUUUUCUGGGUGCCUUACCUGUACGCAAUCGUCAUCCCGUCCAGGGAACGAGUACCUCCUUUUUAUACGUGGAGUGCUAGGAAACAGGGACCGAAACCAACACGUUGGUGCACCUCCGAUCAUGGUGCGUAUUAGGGAUUGACUCCCCCUUAUCUCUCAGUUAGUUACAAGCCGAGAUCAAUAUUCCAAUAGCUACCACGGAUACCAAAGCUGGAGGUGUAAUUAUUCGCCAAAAGUACUAUCGCAUAUAAUGAAUGCCUCACUAAAAAUGAUCAUCGGACCUGCACUGGGUUGUAGCUUCAGUAAUUUGUACAUUACUCCCUCUGUACCACAAUACUUGUUGGUGGGGGAAUUUGUAUUAGUUUUCUCUAACUACAAGUAUUUCGGUACAGAGGGAGUACGUUACAUUAUUUAUUUGAGGUUUGCUUUCGUAUCCUCCACCCUAAAAGAUGUUUCCUCCGUUCCAAAAUAGAUGACUCAACUUUGUGCUAACUUUAAUACAAAAUGGGGUCAUCUAUUUUGGAACGGAGAGAGUAGUUUUUAUGGUACCUUAUAUUGCUAACAGGGGAGUAUUAGUAUAGAACCCCCUCGUUAGCAGUGUUCCGAAGAGUCUACUAGCAACGUCCAGCCGGCGCGCUACUAGUAUAACGUCGCUGAUCCUUCACCAUUUUCUAGAAGUAAAGGUCAAUGAUUUGACCCGGCUUGCAAGAGGGGAGAGGGACAUUAAAAGGAAAAACUGAGCAAAGAGAUAUAUAAAUAUAUUAGAAAAGCUUUUUACUUUUACUUCGUGAUUUCUUUCUUUCUUUUCUACACGCGGAGGAAGAGGGCACUAGUUUCGAAGAAAAUAAAAACUACAAUCCAGCCUGAACCUUUGGGUAGGCUCCGCAGGAUCAACAACCGUGAAAUUCUGCUGUGGUGAUCGACGCCUCACGAGACGAGGAUAAAUCCGUGGAGUUUGACGGCGGCGAGAUGGAGCAGAAUUGGCGAAGGAGAGAGAGAGAGAGACGCAACCGCCUGACUCCCGUGCAAAUCGUCCGUAGGUGUAGCGUUGGCGGCGAUUUUUUCUUUUCUUCUUGUUACGAUGCCCUCGUCAUUUUAGCCAUUCCAAUUUUUAUGAUGGCUUAUAUCCAAAUGGCCACAGGGCUAACCAACGUAUCCGGCAUGUGAUGAGCUCGCUUGAACACGUUGCACCGGCGAGCUCUCCGCGACCGGAGACGCAGCUCACCGCCCUCGUCGUACUCGACAUCGAACGUGGUGAUGCGAAGAACGACGCGGGGAGGACCGACGUAUAUCCGGCUCUCCACGCCCUUGCGCCGCCGCACGUCUUCGUCGCCCUUGUGCCACGUGGACUCCACGAGGCAGAACCUGCCCCCGCUCAUGGGGACGAGGGUGGCCCAGGUGGAGCGGCGACUCGUCGUCGAACAGCCUUUCCUCUCCGAGGAGCUUCCACCGCGGCAGUGUCGUCGGCCCGGCGCCGGCUGGCACGGGCACGACGUCCGAGGUGCAGAGGUGGCCGGUGCCGCCCUUGUGGCGGCAGAUGCCGACCCAUGCGUCCAGCGCGGCCACGCAGUGCGCCUGGCCGCGGAAAGGGAGCAUCCAGUCGCCGUGGCGCGUCCACUCGAGGCGCUCGGUGUCGAAGGAGAAGGUGCCCUUCUCGGCUUCGUGUCUCCACUUGCGGGCCGACACGACGAGGGUGCGCCCGUCCGGGUGCACGGCGUUGCAGUAGGCGGCCGUGAACGGCAGCGGCGAGUCAAGGGCGGUCCAGACCCACGGCUUCUGCACCGCAGGGCGCCCGUCCGUUAGAUGAAGAAUUAUACGUCCGGCUGUGAUUGGUACGUUGAUUAAAUUGAGGGAAAAUAGUUAGAAGCCUACGGACGCAAGAGAAACGUAGAUGAACACAAGAGCAUAAGUUAUGGUCAUCUUUUAUCUUCUCCACCAGGAUGCAGUCCUUCAGCUUUUCUAUAUACUCCCUCCAUCCGAAAAAGUUUGUCCCUUAAAUGAAUAUAUCUAGCACCAAGUUAAUGCUAGAUACAUCUAUUUGAGAGAUAAGCUUGGGACAAGCUUUUUCGGACGGAGGGAUUACAUAGCUAAUGUACUUGUAGUAGACCUGGCCAUGGGCAGCCCGGCCCGAAAAUCCCGGGCCGGGCUUGGGCCUGCACAAAACACAUUUUUAGCCGUGGUCGGGCUGGGCCGACCGGGCCGUGUCAGGCUUUUUCGGGCUCAGGCCUGAUUUUGUAGGCCCGAUGGCCGGGCUCGGGCCUGGGUUUUUAGCAUUGGGCUUUUUUUGGCCCGGCCCGGCCCGAGAUAUGCACAGCUAUAACUUGUACAUACAUAUCAAAAUUGUAGGAAGGCAUAAGAUAAUCUUUCUUAUCUGUUUGUUCCUUUCUGUUUACUCGUCACUUAGCACCGCAAUAAGACAUGACAUCAUCUUCAUUCUCCUUGUCCGCCUCCUAUUUUCUGACAGCCCUUCUGCCUCACCUCUGACCUUGCUAUCACAUAGCCAUCGCUCAUCUUUGUCAAGGUUUAUAUCUUUUCUAUCCACGGAUAAUAGCGCAUUAAACACCUUGAGUUAAUAUCCUUUCACUAUCACAUACGUUUGACAAUAGUGACGAUUAUUGUGGUAGGCAAAAUAUUCUUUUAGUGGGAGGCGAUGCUUUUGACGAUAGUGAGACACAUGUGGUGACUUUGUCAAUCUCAAGAGCCCCCCUUCUCCGCGCUCAGUCUCUCGGAAGUACUCAUAGUGGUAGGUGAUAACCCACAAAUAUAGGGGAUCGCAACAGUUUUCGAGGAUAGAGUAUUCAACCCAAAUUUAUAGAUUCGAUACAAGGGGAGCCAAAAAAUAUUUGAAGGUAUUAGCAGCUGAGUUGUCAAUUCAACCAUACCUGUAGAUUAAUUAUCUGCAGCAAAGUGAUCAGUACCAAGUAGUUUGAUAGUUUUGAUGGUAGUGACAGCAGCAACAGUAACAGUAACAGUGAUAGCAGUAUUUUGUAGCAAGUGUAACAGUGAUGAUAGCAGUAGUAACUUAGCAGAAACAAUAUAAAUAAAUUCGUAGGCAUUGGAUCGGUGACUUGUUGGAUGAUAUUCAUCAUGUGACAGUUAUAACCUAGGGCGAUACGGCACUAGCUCCAGUUCAUCGAUAUAAUGUAGGCAUGUAUUCUGUAAAUAGUCAUACGUGCUUUAUUAAAAGAACUUGCAUGACAUCUUUUGUCCUACCCUCCCGUGGCAGCGGGGUCCAUAUUGGACACUAAGGGAUAUUAAGGCCUCCUUUUAAUAGAGAACCGGAACAAAGCAUUAACACAUAGUGAAUACAUGAACUCCUCAAACUACGGUCAUCACCGGGAGUGGCCCCGGUUAUUGACUUGCAAGAUCGGAUCUAAAACAUGGAUAUAAUGAUGAAUUCAUAAACGGUUCAGAUCUAAGUUCAUGGCACCUGGGCCCAAAGUGACAAGCAUUAAGCAUAGCAAAGUCAUAGCAACAUCAAUCUAAGAACAUAGUGGAUACUAGGGAUCAUGCCCUAACAAAACUAACUCGAUUACAUGAUGAAUCUCAUUCAACUCCUCACCGACCAGCAAGCCUACGAAGGAAUUACUCACUCUCGGUGGGGAGCAUCAUGAAAUUGGCGAUGGAGAUUGGUUGGUGAUGACGAAGAACGAAGAUCCCCCUCUCCGGAGCCCCGAACGGACUCAAGAUCUGCCCUCCUGAGGAAGAACAGGGCUUGGCGGCGGCUCCGUCUCGUGAAACGCGAUAAUUCUUUCUCCCCGAUUUUUUUCUGGAAAUAUGUGAAUUUAUAGUAUCAAGGGGGUCGUCAGUGGGGCCACUAGGUGGGUACAACCCACCUGGGCGCGCCAGGAGAGGGGGGCGCACCCUUGUGGGUUGUGCCCAGCCAGGGGCCCCUCUCUGGUGGUUGUUGGCUCCAAAAAUCCUCUUUUAUUCCAUAAAAAAUCCUCGCAAAGUUUCACUUUAUUCCGAGAACUUCUAUUUCUGCAUAAAACAACACCAUGGUAGUUCUGCUGAAAACAACGUCAGUCUGGGGUUAGUUUCCUUCAAAUCAUGCAAAUUAGAGUCCAGAAUAAGAGGAAAAACGUGAGAAAAAGUAGAUACGUUGGAGACAUAUGAACUCCCCCAAGCUUAAACCUUUGCUUGUCCUCAAACAAUUCAGUUGAUAAACUGAAAGUGAGAAAGAAAAACUUUUACGAACUCUUUUGCUCUUGUUUGCAUAAAUAGGCUUAAACAGCACCCAGGUUUUCAGCCAACAUUAUAACUAACCAUGUCAACAGUAACAUUUAAAGAUUAUAAUGAUUCAUAUCAAUGACAUAAUUAGCUAGAGAGCAAUAAUAAGAUAUCUCAAACAGCAACAUGUUGUCAAAACAACCAUGAUAUAAUAUGACAAUAGUGGUAUCUCGCUAGCCCUUUUUGAGACCGCGAAACAUAAAUGCAGAGCACCUCCAAAGUUCAAGCAGUGACUAAACAUUGUAAUUCAUGGUAGAAAAGAUCCAGUCAUGAUGCCCAACGUUAGCUAUACACAAUGCAUAAAUCAUGAUAGCCAUGCUCUACUCAGUUUUUGGCGCUUGUUUUAGAAGGAGAUGACACAACAUAAAAGUAAAUAGAAAGUCCCUUCGCAGAGGGAAGCAGUGAUUUGCAGAGGUGCCAGAGCUCGAUUUUUUUUAAAAUAGAGAUAAAUGAUAUUUUGAGACAUGCACCCUUCUUAUUCACUUCACGACUAUCAGUUAUCAACAUCUUCCAUGCUAAGCAUGCUAGUGGCGGUUCCCAAGCGGAAAGUAAAGGUUUUGACUCCAUUGGGAGUUUUUGUUUGAUUAUUUAAGAGAUGAACUCUUUUUCAUGUUUGCAGUUUGGGACUGGGCAUCCCUAAUACCGCCCAUUUCCUCGUGUGAUGGCGAGUGAAUAAACACUCAUCCUGAGGAUAACCCGCAUAGCACGGAAGAUAUCGACCACCUCCUGUCGUUCCAUGAACGAUCCAGGCACACAAAACGGAUAAUUUUUUAGAAGUUUUUAGAGAUGGCACAUGCAAAUUUACUUAGGACGACAGGGUAAUACCGUAUAUAGGUAGGUAUGGUGGAUUCAUCUGGAAUAACUUUGGGUUCAUGGUUUUUGAUGUACAAGCAGAAUUCCCACUUAGUAGAGACGAAGGCUAGCAAUUAAGAUUGGGAAGCGGCCAGCUAGAGAGCAACAACGAUCAUAACCAGGCAUUAUGCAUAAGUAACAUUGGACACUAGCGUGAGUAGGAUAUGAACACCAUGAACAUAAAUAUUAUAGAGGCUAUGUUGGUUUUGAUUCAACUACAUGCAUGAGCAUGUACCAAGUCAAGCUACUCGAACAUUCAGAGGAGGAUACCAUAUCAUCAUACUACAUCACAAUCAUUUUAACGCUAUGUUGAUAUCCAAAAUAAAUCAUUAUCCACUCCCAGCUACUUAUGCAUGGCAUGAGAAACUAUAAUCUCUAAUUUUCAUUGCAAACAUGUUUAAUCAUAAUGGGCUGAAGCCUGGAUACUAGGUUAAACAUAUUUACACAAACAGAACAAGUCGAGUUCACACCAGUUUCUCUUUGCCACGGCCAGCUCAUCGAAUAUCGUCAUUAUUGCCUUUCACUUGCACGACCGAAUGAUAUGAAAAUAAUAAUAGUGUAAGAGUGACAUGGACUAAGCUGGAAUCUGCAAAAUAUUUUAUUCAACAGGAGAAGACAAGGUAAAAUGGGCUCUUUAUUAGUUCAACUAUUAUUCAUAUGAGAGCCACUCAACAUUUUCAUCGUGGUCUUCUCCUCGGUAAGACUCAACUAAAAAGAAAAGAAAUUUAGAGAAACACACUGAAAUAUUUUUGGAGUUUUUAGUUUUCUUCAACAAGCAAAUAAAAAGCAAAAAUGAGAAAAACUAUUUACAUGGGAAAGCUCCCAACAAGCAAAAAGAAGAACAAGAAAAUCUUUUUGGGUUUUCUCUUUUUAGUUGUAGAAAGUAAAUUACUACAACUAAUUGUUUUUGGUUUUUCUAAAGUAUUUCAAACACAUAAGAAGAAAGCAAGAAAAUAAAUCUAAGCAUGGAUGAUACAAUGAAAAAGUAUGAACACCGACGGAUAGAAUGAUAUGUAAACAUGAAUAUAAUCUCGGUAAGAAACACGUACUCCCCCAAGCUUAGGCUUUUGGCCUAAGUUGGUAAUCGGUCAGUAGCCUGGAGGGUAGUAGUCGGCGUGGUAGCUCACGGAGGCUCUCAGUGCAGAGGCCUCAGCACGCCGUGCCGCCAACACUGCUGCGUUGUGAGCUCGGGCCUCGCUCUCAAGAACAAAAUAUCUUUCCUUGCUGUUAUAAUCAAAGAGAGUAGGCGUAGGCAAAUAUGUGUCCACAACAUGUGAUUGGUUAAACAACAGAUUAUAAGUGAAGUUAUCAGCCCUUCCCCUGAGAAUCUUAUGCUCUUUCAAAGAAUCAAAAUAUAAAUACCGAGUAGGAAGGAUAGGGUCAAAGGGUAAAGGUGAAACACCCAUCCCUCGUGCUAAACGUGUGGCAUAAAUUCCACCAUAGAACCAGCCACUUUUGGCGUUAUGCUGAAGUCUACGUGCAACAAUCGCUCCAAGGUUAUAAUUCCUUUCACCAGUGAGAGCGGUGUGAAUGAGGCUCAAGUCUGGCGCACAAAGUAUGCUACAGUCUUGCUUGCCUACUAUGCAUUUCCCGUUAAAUAAAGCAAGAUACUGAAUUGCGGGAAAGUGAAUGCUCUUUAUUCUUCCUUGUCUCACUCCCCUAUUUUCACCGUAACAAAGGCCAGUCAAGAAGGACUCAUACUCAGCCUUUGGUGGCUCAUCAAGCGAACCCCAAAAUGGAAGUUUGCAAUGGUAAGCAAAGUUCUCUAGUGGGAUAGUAAACGGUUCAUCAUAAAGCAUAAACGACACCCUAGACUCACGUGGAAAAUAUUUAAAUCCUUUGACAAAUGAUUCAGUGAGAAGAUGGCACUGUUCACACUUAUUUGAGAGGUAGGGACCGAGGCCGGCAUUGUGAACAUAUUGCUCAAAUUCCUCCUUGAUCUCCACUUGCAUCAUAUACUCAUCGCAAGGCCAUAAGCAAGUUUUGGUAGCGGCAUCUCAUGUGGAACUUUCACUUCGUUCAACAUAAGAUCGGCGAGCAGAACUGUCACUAGAAGAUGCCCCCGAGGACUUUCUCCUCGAAGAACUCCUUCCAAACAGGUUCAUAAUGUCAACAAAAAUCUGAAUUUUUAGUUCACAAAUUUUUUCCAACAAAACUUCACAAAACUAAUAGCAACUACUCAUAGGGAUACAUAGAGGCCAUAACAAGCAUUCAAACUACUUAGAACACUAAGAGUUGAACAUGCAAGCACAUCUACUGCAGCACCAAGAGUAGCUAUUUAUCCAAAGUAUAAACCACUAAAACAAAAACUAAUUGGACAAAUGAUGGAGUCACAUACCAAGCAACAAAUCCCCGAAACUGUUUCGGAAACGAAGCUUCGAGCAAAGAGGUCGAAAUCCGCGGGUUUGAGCUCAAGAACACGGGAAAGAGAGUAUGAGAGAUUUUUUUCUAGAGGUAUGUGACAAUGUGGGCUAAAGAGAUAAGUGAGGGGGCCCACGUGGGGACCACAACCCCUCAGGGCGCGCCAGGGGGUGCUGGCGCGCCCUGGUGGGUUGUGCCCACCAGGUGCACCCCCUCUGGUAUUAUUUGCACCAAAAAUUCUCAAAUAUUCAGGAAAAAAUCAUAUAAAAUUUUCAGGGCAUUCUGAGAACUUUUAUUUUUGGGUCAUUUUUUAUUGCACGGGAAAUUCAGAAAACAGACAAAGCAUGGCAUUUUAUUUUGUUUAACAAAUAAAAAUAGAGAAUAAAAAGUAAGGACAGAAGGUAGUGCUUACUAAAUUCAUCAACUUCAUACCGUUCAAAAAUGAUUCAUUAAUAAGGUUGAUCAGGUCUUAUUAACAACCACUUCCAAUUAGCAUGAAACCGGAGAACUUUCAUAAAUCACUAAGUUACCUCAAUGGGGAUUUGCAUCUCCCCAACAAUAAGCAUUUCAUAUUUCUUUUUGACAGUAGGUAGAGGUAUUUGAAAACUUCCAAUAGUGAUUGUCAGAGAUUUUUCAAUAACAUUAAUACCAUUCACAUGGAAUUGUUUCUUCGAAAAGUGCACCAUAUGCUCAUUACCAUUAAUAUGAAAAGUGACCUUGCUUUUAUUGCAAUCAAUAACAGCCCUUGCAGUAUUCAAGAAUGGUCUACCAAGGAUAACCGACAUGUUGCCGUCCUCGGGCAUCUCAAGUAUAACAAAGUCAGUCAAAAUAGUAACAUUAGCAACAACAACGGGCACAUCCUCACAAAUACCGAUAGGUAUGGCAGUUGAUUUGUCAGCCAUUUGCAAAGAUAUUUCAGUAGGUGUGAGUUUAUUCAAGUCAAGUAUUUUAUAUAAAGAGAAAGGCAUAACACUAACACCAGCUCCUAAAUCACACAAAGCAGUUUUCACAUAAUUCUUUUUGAUAGAGCAAGGUAUAGUUGGUAUACCCGGAUCUCCAAGUUUUUUAGGUACUUCAUCUUUGAAAGUAUAAUUAGCAAGCAUAAUGGAGAUUUCAGCUUCCGGUAUUUUUAUCUUAUUAGUGAUGAUGUCUUUCAUAUACUUUGCAUAAGGAGGCAUUUUCAAGAUAUCAGUCAAGCGAGUACGCAAAAAGACUGGCCUCAGCAUUUCAGCAGAGCGUUCAAAUUCUUCAUCAUCAUUCUUUUUAGUUGACUUGGGUGGAAAAGGCAUAGGUUUUUGAACCCACGGUUCUCUUUCUUUACCGUGUUUCCUAGACACAAAGUCUCUUUUAUCAUAUCUUUUAUUCUUAAGUUGUGGGUUAUCAAGAUCAAUAGGUGGUUCUAUCUCAACAUCAUUAUCUGGUUCUUUUUCAUUAUUUGGUUGAGUGUCUUCAUGAAUCAGCAUUAUCUUUUUCACUAUCGCUAGGUGGAUGUUCAUUACCAGAUUGAGUUUCAGCAUCUGAGAUAGAAGUUUCAUUUUCAUUAUCAGGAGGUUUUUCUAUUUCAGGUUCACUAGAAGUGUGCAAAGUCCUAUCAUUUUUCUUCUCCUUUUUCUUUCUAGAAGGACUAGGUGAACUAGUGUUGCUUAUUUGUCAAUCUUGUAUAAUUCUUUUUGGGUGUCCCUCAGGAUAAAGUGGUUCCUGAUUCAUUUUACCUCCUCUAGUUGCAAUUCUAACAGCAAAGUCAUGCAUAUUAUUAUUCAUUUCAUCAAGCAAUUCUCUUUGAGAUUUAGCAACUUGUUCUAACUGGGUUUGUACCAUAGAAGCAUGUUUUCCAACACCUCUAACAUCAUUUGAAAUUCUAAAUAACAAGUCACUCAAGCGAGCAAUCAUAUCAGAGUUGUAUUUCAAUUGUUUCAUAACAUUUGCAUUGAAGUGAUCUUGUUUUCUAAUAUAGUUUUCAAACUCAUAAAGGCAUUGACUAGGAUGCAUAUUGUGAGGAUUGUCAUUUUCAUUGAACUUCAUAAGAGAAUUUACCUCUACCACCUUAGGAAGUGGUGGUGUAUUUAGCCCAUGUAUUUCUUCAAUAGGAGGUAAAUUUUUAACAUCCUCAGCUUUAAUACCUUUUUCCUUCAUAGAUUUCUUUGCCUCUUGCAUAUCUUCAGGACUGAGAUAUAAUAUACCCCUCUUCUUCGGACUGGGUUUAGCCGGUGGUUUAGGAAGAGUCCAAUCAUCAUAAUUUUUCAAUAUAUUAUUCAAUAAUUCUUCAGCUUGAGCAUCGGUUAGGAAGAGUUGUGUUCGUUCCCUGAAAACACAACCAGCACAACUAUCGAGGAAGUCCUAGAAGCAUCGGUUAGUCCAUUAUAGAAGAUAUCAAGUAUUUCAUUUUUCUUAAGUGGAUGAUCUGGCAAAGCAUUAAGUAACUGACAAAGCCCCCCCCCCCAAGCUUGUGGGAGGCUCUCUUCUUUAGUUUGCACAAAGUUAAAUAUUUCCUGUAAGGCAGCUUGUUUCUUAUGAGCAGGAAAAUAUUUUUCAGAGAAGUAAUAAAUCAUAUCCUGGGGACUACGCACACAACCAGGAGUAAGAGUAUUGUAUCAAGCUUUAGCAUCACCCUUUAAUGAGAAAGGAAAUAAUUUGAGAAUAAAGUAAUAGCGAGUUUUCUCAUCAUGAGUAAAAAGGGUGGCUAUAUCAUUCAACUUAGUAAGAUGUGCCACAACAGUUUCAGUUUCAUAACCGUGGAAAGGAUCAGAUUCAACCAAAGUAAUUAACUCUGGGUCGAUAGAGAAUUCAUAAUCCUUAUCUGCAAUAAAGAUAGGUGAAGUAGCAAACUUAGGAUCACAUUUCAUUCUAGCAUUCAAAGAUUUUUCUUUAUACUUGCAUAGUAAUUUCUCUAGAUCAUCUCUAUCAUUGCAAGCAAGAAUAUCUCUAGUUGCUUCUUCACUCAUAACAUAACCUUCUGGUACCUUAGGCAAUUCAUAUCUAGGAAGGCUAGGUCUAGCAGGUGUUUCAGGAGUUCCAGUUUCAAGCUCAUCAUCAGAUUCAAGAACAUCAUGUUGUAUAACUCUAGCAAUUUGUUCAUCAAGAAAAUCACCAAGUGGCACAUCAUCAUUAUCAAGCAAGGUACUAGCAUCAUCAUAAGCAUCAUUCAUAGCAGAAGUAGCAUCAUCAAUAACUUGUGACAUAUUAUAAUUCAUAGCAUGUGGUGGUGUUGCAAGUUUAUUCAUGACAGAAGGUGAAUCUAAAGAAGAACUGGAUGGCAGUUCCUUACCACCCCUCGUCUUUGAGGGAAAUAUCUUAGUCUUUGGAUCCAUCAGAUUCUUCAUAGUGAUAAUAUAUAAUAAUUCCAAGUGACUGAACAAAUAUAGCUAUGGUCCCCGGCAACGGCGCCAGAAAAAGGUCUUGAUAACCCACAAGUAUAGGGGAUCGCAACAGUUUUCGAGGGUAGAGUAUUCAACCCAAAUUUAUGGAUUCGACACAAGGGGAGCCAAAGAAUAUUUGAAGGUAUUAGCAGCUAAGUUGUCAAUUCGACCACACCUGUAGAUUAAUUAUCUACAGCAAAGUGAUCAGUAGCAAAGUGUUUGAUAGUUUUGAUGGUAGUGACAACAGCAACAGUAACAGUAACAGUGAUAGCAGUAUUUUUAGCAAGUGUAACAGUGAUGAUAGCAGUAGUAACUUAGCAGAAACAAUAUAAAUAACUUCGUAGGCAUUGGAUCGGUGACUUGUUGGAUGAUAUUCAUCAUGUGACAGUUAUAACCUAGGGCGAUACGGCACUAGCUCCAGUUCAUCGAUAUAAUGUAGGCAUGUAUUCUGUAAAUAGUCAUACGUGCUUUAUUAAAAGAACUUGCAUGACAUAUUUUGUCCUACCCUCCCGUGGCAGCGGGGUCCAUAUUGGAAACUAAGGGAUAUUAAGCCCUCCUUUUAAUAGAGAACCGGAACAAAGCAUUAACACAUAGUGAAUACAUGAACUCCUCAGACUACGGUCAUCACCGGGAGUGGGCCCGGUUGUUGUCACUCCGGGGUUGCCGAAUCAUAACACAUAGUAGGUGACUAUAACUUGCAAGAUCGGAUCUAAAACAUGGAUAUAAUGAUGAAUUCAUAAAUGGUUCAGAUCUUAGUUCAUGGCGCCCGGGCCCAAAGUGACAAGCAUUAAGCAUAGCAAAGUCAUAGCAACAUCAAUCUAAGAACAUAGUGGAUACUAGGGAUCAGGCCCUAACAAAACUAACUCGAUUAGAUGAUGAAUCUCAUCCAACUCCUCACCGACGAGCGAGCCUACGAAGGAAUUACUCACUCUCGGUUGGGAGCAUCAUGGAAUUGGCGAUGGAGAUUGGUUGGUGAUGAUGAAGAACGAAGAUCCCCCUCUCCGGAGCCCCGAACAGACUCCAGAUCUCCCCUCCCGAGGAAGAACAGGGCUUGGCGGUGGCUCCGUCUCAUGAAACGCGAUAAUUCUUUCUCCCUGAUUUUUUCUGGAAAUAUGUGAAUUUAUAGUAUCAGGGGGGUCAUAAGCGGGGCCACCAGGUGGGUACAACCCACCUGGGCGCGCCAGGAGAGGGGGGCGCGCCCUGGUGGGUUGUGCCCAGCCAGGGGCCCCUCUCUGGUGGUUAUUGGCUCCAAAAAUCCUCUUUUAUUCCAUAAAAAAUCCUCGCAAAGUUUCACUUUAUUCCGCGAACUUUUAUUUCUGCACAAAAACAACACCAUGGUAGUUCUGCUGAAAAUAGCGUCAAUCUGGGGUUAGUUUCAUUUCAAAUCAUGCAAAUUAGAGUCCAAAACAAGAGGAAAAGCAUGAGAAAAAGUAGAUACGUUGGAGACGUAUCAGUAGGGUGCGUGUGCAUGCGUUCAUAGGGAUGAAUGUGUGUACGUGUUUGUAAGCAUCAUCGUUUGUACUAUUUUUUUACAGAACCUUUCAAAAUGCACGUGAAAUAUAUUAGAAGCACUAUUGUCAAGACAUAACAACAUAUUGGUCAUGCAUUUCCAAAAAUCUGUAAUACACAUAUGCUACCUCUUGAGCAUACGUUGGUUUUCCCUUGAAUAGGAAAGGGUGAUGCAGCAAAGUAGCGUAAGUAUUUCCCUCAGUUUUUGAGAACCAAUGUAUCAAUCCAUUAGGAGACUACACGCAAGUCGCCUAGUACCUGCACAAACAAAUAAGAACCUUGCAACCAACGCGAUAAAGGGGUUGUCAAUCCCUUCAUGGCCACUUGCAAAAGCGAGAUCUGAUAAAGAUAAUAAGAUAAUAUUUUUGGUAUUUUUGUUGUAUAGAUUGGAAAAGUAAAGAUUGCAAAAUAAACGGCGACAGGAAUAACUAGUUGACGGGAAACUAAUAUGAUGUAAAAUAGACCCGGGGGCCAUAGGUUUCACUAGUGGCUUCUCUCAAGAUAGCAUAUUUUACGGUGGGUGAACAAAUUACUGUCGAGCAAUUGAUAAAAAAGCGCAUAGUUAUGAGAAUAUCUAGGCAUGAUCAUAAACAUAGGCAUCACGUCCGUGUCAAGUAGACCGAAACGAUUCUGCAUCUACUACUAUUACUCCACACAUCGACCGCUAUCCAGCAUGCAUCUAGAGUAUUAAGUUCAUAAGAACGGAGUAACGCAUUAGGCAAGAUGAUAUGAUGUAGAGGGAUAAACUCAAGCAAUAUGAUAUAAACCCCAUCUUUUUAUCCUCGAUGGAAACAAUACAAUACGUGCCUUGCUGCCCCUGCUGUCACUAGGAAAGGACACGGCAAGAUUGAACCCAAAGCUAAGCACUUCUCCCAUUGCAAGAAAGAUCAAUCUAGUAGGCCAAACUAAACCGAUAAUUCGAAGAGACUUGCAAAGAUAUCAAAUCAUGCAUAUAAGAAUUCAGAGAAGAAUCAAAUAUUGGGACGCGGCUUUUUUGCUCCUAGGUGCAUAUGCACCCAUUGUCGAAAACACACAUUUUGAAAAGUUGAAAAAUUCGGAACAAAAAUCCCGCGUGUAUAUCCGGACAUUUUAUGUCCGUUCACAAGGUUUCGGUGAAAAUGACGUUUUUUGUGGCUUGUGUAAAAAAGAUAAAGAAAUGCCUCGUAAAUAGUUAGAAUGAAGCAUCAGAAAUUGUCUUUUUUACACAAGCCACAAAAAACGUCGUUUUUCACCGAAACCUUGUGAACGGACAUAAAAUGUCCGGAUAUACACGCGGGAUUUUUGUUCCGAAUUUUUCAACUUUUCGAAAUGUGUAUUUCGACAAUGGGUGCAUAUGCACGUAGGAGCAAAAGGGAAUAUCCCCAAAUAUUGUUCAUAGAUAAUCUUGAUCAUAAGCCCACAAUUCAUCGAAUCUCGAUAAACACACCGCAAAAAGAAUUACAUCGAAUAGAUCUCCAAGAGAAUCGAGGAGAACUUUGUAUUGAGAUCCAAAGAGAGAGAAGAAGCCAUCUAGCUAAUAACUAUGGACCCGAAGGUCUGAGGUAAACUACUCACACAUCAUCGGAGAGGCUAUGGUGUUGAUGUAGACGCCCUCCGUGAUCGAAUCCCCCUCGGGCAGAUCGCCGAAAAAGGCCCCAAGAUGGGAUCUACAAAAUAAAACCACCACCGUGCUCUAAAAAGAUAUAAAUGAAGCAUUAGAGCAAAAUUAUCUAGCUCAAAAGAUAUAAGUGAAGCACAUAGAGUAUUCUAAUAAAUUCCGAUUCAUGUGUGUCUCUCCAAAGGGUGUGUACAGCAAGGAUGAUUGUGGUGAACUAAAAAGCAAAGAUUCAAAUCAUACAAGACGCUCCAAGCAAAACACAUAUCAUGUGGUGAAUAAAAAUAUAGCUCAAGUAAAGUUACCGAUAGACGAAGACAAAAGAGGGAAUGUCUUCCGGGGCAUCCCCAAGCUUAGGCUUUUGGUUGUCCUUGAAUUUUACCUUGGGGUGCCUUGGGCAUCCCCAAGCUUAGGCUCUUGCCACUCCUUGUUCCAAAAUCCAUCAAAUCUUUACCCAAAAACUUGAAAACUUCACAACACAAAACUCAACAGAAAAUCUCAUGAGCUCCGUUAGUAUAAGAAAACAAACCACCACUUUAAGGUACUGUAAUGAAAUCAUUCUUUAUUUAUAUUGGUGUUAAACCUACUGUAUUCCUACUUCUCGAUGGUUCAUACCCCCCGAUACUAGCCAUAGAUUCAUCAAAAUAAGCAAACAACACACAAAAACAGAAUCUGUCAAAAACAGAACAGUUUGUAGCAAUCUGGAUCAAAUAAAUACUUAUGUAACUCCAAAAAUUCUGAAAUAAAUUUUUGGACGUGAGGAAUUUAUCUAUUAAUCAUCUGCAAAAAUAAUCAACCUAAUAGGACUCUCCAGUAAAAACAUGGCAGCUAAUCUCGUGAGCGCUAAAGUUUCUGUUUUUUACAGCAAGAUCGCAAAGACUUCCCCCAAGUCUUCCCAAAGGUUCUACUUUGCACAAACACUAAUUUAAAACAUAAAACCACAUCUAAACAGAGGCUAUAUGAAUUAUUUAUUACUAAACAGGAAUAAAAAUCAAAGAACAAAAAUAAAGUUGGGUUGCCUCCCAACAAGCGCUUUUCUUUAAAGCCUUUUUAGCUAGGCAUUGAUAAUUUUAAUGAUGCUCACAUGAAAGACAAGAAUUGAAGCGCAAAGAUAGCAUCAUAAAACACGUGACAAACACAUCUAAGUCUAACAUACUUCCUAUGCAUACGCAUUUUGUAAGCAAACAAAAUUUCAAGGCAAGCAAAAACCAGCAUAUGCAAGGAAGAAGAAAGAGACGAUAGCAUUCUCAACAUGAAGAGAGGUAAUUUAGUAACAUGAAAAUUUCUACAACCAUAUUUUCCUCUCUCAUAAUAAUUACAUGUAGGAUCAUAAGAAAAUUCAACAACAUAGCUAUCACAUAAAAUAUUCUCUUUAUGAACCACAUGCAUGCAAAGUUGACACUCUUCCAAAAUAGUGGGAUUAACAUUAACUAAAGUCAUGACCUCUCCAAACCCACUUUUAUCAAAAAUUUCAUAAGAUUGAAAAUCCUCCAAAUAUGUGGGAUCUAAAGUUGACACUCUUCCAAACCCACUUUCAAUAUUAUUGCAAACACUAUUAUCAAUCUCAUAUUCAUCAUGGGGCUUAAAUAAAUUUUCAAGAUCAUAAGAAGAAUCACCCCAAUCAUGAUAAUUGCAACAAGUAGUAGACAUAGCAAAACUAGCAUCCCCAAGCAAAGGGUUUCGCAUAUUGUUAGCACAAUUGACAUCAAGAGAAUUUAUAGCAAAAUCAUUGCAAUCAUGCUUUUUAUUCAAGGAGCUAUCGUGAAUCUCUUCAUAAAUUUCCUCAUCACAAUUUUCAGAUUCACGAAUUUCAAGCAAAAACUCAUAAAGAUAAUCUUGUGCACUCAAAUCACUAGAAAUUGGUUCACCAUAAUUGGAUCUCUUAAAAAGAUUAGCAAGGGGAUGAGGAUCGAUAAACUGUUAGCAAGCGAAGAUGCAAGCGAAAAGAAGGCACAUGGUAACACAAGAUCGAACGGAAGGGGGCGCAAAAAAGGAGAGGCGAAUAAAACGGCAAGGGUGAAGUGGGGGAGAGGAAAACGAGAGGCAAAUGGCAAAUAAUGUAAUGCGAGGGAUAAGAGUUUGUGAUGGGUACUUGGUAUGUCUUGAGUUGAGCGUAGAUCUCCCCGGCAAUGGCGCCAGAAAUCCGCACGUUGGCGGGAGAUCAAAUCUUGACUUGACUUGGCGUAAACCUUCCCGGCAACGGCGCCAGAAAUCCUUCUUGCUACCUCUUGAGCAUGCGUUGGUUUUCCCUUGAAGAGGAAAGGGUGAUGCAGCAAAGUAGCGUAAAUAUUUCCCUCAGUUUUUUAGAACCAAGGUAUCAAUCCAGUAGGAGAGUACACGCAAGUCGCCUAGUACCUGCACAAACAAAUAAGAACCUUGCAACCAACGCGAUAAAGGGGUUGUCAAUCCCUUCACGGCUACUUGCAAAAGUGAGAUCUGAUAAAGAUAAUAAGAUAAUAUUUUUGGUAUUUUUGUUGUAUAGAUUGGAAAAGUAAAGAUUGCAAAAUAAACGGCGACAGAAAUAACUAGUUGACGGGAAACUAAUAUGAUGUAAAAUAGACCCGGGGGCCAUAGGUUUCACUAGUGGCUUCUCUCAAGAUAGCAUAUUUUACGGUGGGUGAACAAAUUACUGUCGAGCAAUUGAUAGAAAAGCGCAUAGUUAUGAGAAUAUCUAGGCAUGAUGAUAAAAUUAGGCAUCACGUUCGUGUCAAGUAGACCGAAACGAUUCUGCUACUACUAUUACUCCACAUAUCGACCGCUAUCCCGCAUGCAUCUAGAGUUUUAAGUUCAUAAGAACGGAGUAACGCAUUAGGCAAGAUAUACAUGAUGUAGAGGGAUAAACUCAAGCAAUAUGAUAUAAACCCCAUCUUUUUAUCCUCGAUCGCAACAAUACAAUACGUGCCUUGCUGCCCCUGCUGUCACUGGGAAAGGACACCGCAAGAUUGAACCCAAAGCUAAGCACUUCUCCCAUUGCAAGAAAGAUCAAUCUAGUAGGCCAAACUAAACCGAUAAUUCGAAGAGACUUGAAAAGAUAUCAAAUCAUGCAUAUAAGAAUUCAGAGAAGAAUCAAAUAUUGUUCAUAGAUAAUCUUGAUCAUAAACCCAUAAUUCAUCGGAUCUCGACAAACACACCGCAAAAAGAAUUACAUCGAAUAGAUCUCCAAGAGAAUCAAGGAGAACUUUGUAUUGAGAUCCAAAGAUAGAGAAGAAGCCAUCUAGCUAAUAACUAUGGACCCGAAGGUCUAAGGUAAACUACUCACACAUCAUCGGAGAGGCUAUGGUGUUGAUGUAGAAGCCCUCCGUGAUCGAAUCCCCCUCUGGCAGAUCGCCGGAAAAGGCCCCAAGAUGGGAUCUCAUGGGCACAGAAGGUUGCGGCGGUAGAAAAGUGGUUUCGUGGCUCCCCCCGAUGUUUUCAGGGUAUGAGAGUAUAUAUAGGCGAAAGAAGUAGGUCGGUUGAGCCACGAGGGGCCCACGAGGGUGGGGGGGUGCGCCUACCCCCUGGGCGCGCCCUCCUACCUCGUGGCCGCCUCGUUGCUUCCUUGACGUCCACUCCAAGUCUCCUGGAUUGCGUUUGUUCCAAAAAAGAUCCUCGUGAAGGUUUCAUUUAGUUUGGAUUCCGUUUGAUAUUCCUUUUCUGCGAAACACUGAAAUAGGCAAAAAACCGCAACUGGCACUGGGCCUCCGGGUUAAUAGGUUAGUCCCAAAGAUAAUAUAAAAUAGCAUAUUAAAGCCCAUUAAACAUCCAAAACAGAUAAUAUAAUGGCAUGGAACAAUAAAAAAUUAUAGAUACGUUGGAGAUGUAUCAACAUACCAUGGUCAUCUUAUGUGUUGUCAUCUCUCUUUGUUCCCUUUCAUAUUUUGUAACACCAAGUUAGAAUAUUCCUUCCCCCCAUUUCCAUUGUGAUGUUGCAUAGCUUCACAUUGUGUCUCGAUGUUGUCACACACCAGGCUCCUCUUUUAGAUGAAAUUUGAUCGAUGGGAGGGUGACCGCUCGUUGGCGGCUCGGUUUCCCGAAUUUUCUGUCAUUUGUGUGCUCCCUCAUAUCUCUAUUAAGGCUGCCUCAAAUGACCUUGAGAACCAUACAUUCCGCUGCAUCAUUGGGCAACCUGAAAGGGAAUCUUGCGAAGGCUUGAUGGAAUGUGUUUCUCUCCGCACGCCGAGCUUUGAAUCGGUCGUAUUUCUUGCCGUCUUGAGGCCAACCAUCGAGUUUUGAUUCGCUCACUUUACCAAGUGGUGACAGCUUCUACGGUCAUGAACCUCUCACUCCGCUUUGGCUUUUCAAGCUUCCAUUUAAGAUUAGAAUCUUUCUGUUAGCAAUGUAUUUGUGGCCAUAUUCCUUCAGGGUGGAGGUGCGUAAGCGCAAUGGACCUAGGAUGGAUUUUGCCCUUUGUGCGAAACUCCAGCCGUAUUUUCUUCUCCUGAGUUUUGGCUCAAUUCUUAUGUAGUUGCUUCAGGAAGGUCGUUGGUGGAGUCUGGUGCCAUACGAAUAUCGCCGACCUUUUCGUGGAGUUGUGUGCUUACCCGACCCUUGCUUGGACUUUAUGGAAAAUUGCAACAAGCUAGUUAUUGAGCAUUCUCCUCUACAACGUCCGAUUGACGUCAUUUUUAAAAUGUGUGGCUUUCUGUAGCCUUGGAAGCCUCUUCGAGUCUUCGUGGCCUGCCCUACCAUGUUGCCAUUGAUGGUCUUACUGCAGGACUUGGGUCUCUGUACCCACCCCCUCGGCCACCUCCAAAGCUGGACUAAAUGUGCUUUUUUGCUUCUUCAUACAUCAUUUUUUAUCCAUGGGCUUGUUGAGCAGUGCCCCUAGCGGGACCCUUUAUGUUUCCUGUGUUUGGACCAUGUCUCUCCCUCCCUCCCUCCAUCCCUCUCUCUCUCUCCCAUCCUUUGAACUGUUGCAGAAGCAUGUAUUAUGUUGUUGUGUACUUUAUUAAUAAAGCGGGCGGAAAGUUUUUUCUGUCAAAUAGCAUUUUAUUGUCUCGAUUGGUGAAAUCAAAUACAAUGAGUAGUUACAGAAUGUACUAUAUCAAACCAUCAGUUGGUAUAUAUUCUUAUUAACCAAAUUAAGCAAAUCAAAGUAUAUAUAAAUAGGACAUUCGUAUAACUAUGAGAACACCAACCAUUAGAUUUCACGAAUGCACCCAGUACAAGAAUUCCAGAUGUAUUAUGCCUAAUGUUUUGUUGUGUUGUCUAAAUUACUUUGAUGAAGUAUAAGGAAUUAGUUGGUCUUCUAGAAACACAACAUCCAAUCAACAUUAAGUACACUUAUUUACUUUGAUGGAUACAACUGUUUUGGCCAGAUAUUUAUGUGCCCAUACAUUUUACACAAACCAUUUACAACAGCUGGCAAUUAACAUCCUAGUUUAAAUUCAAGGGCUAUGUUAAACUGUGGUUUUCUUCUAGGAUCAUGCAGAACUAUUUUGCUUGUUUAAACUAGUAAGGAACCUUGUAGUGCUAUGGUUGUUUCUCUAAUGAAAAUUGACGAUGCAACCCAUUGCUUCAAAAAAAAGUUACACCAAUGAUAGCCACAUAUGGACUUAAGGCGCAUAUUCACCUACAAAAACCAUCUUGAUAAUGUCAGGAAGAAGUGCAUUUCAGUGUAUAAAUUCACAAGAAAAGAGAUUCUACCAUGCAUGGGAUAUCACAUGCAUGUAUCUGUCAUAUACGGAGUUGGAGAUCCGCAUCUACACCGACGUAUUCAUAUGUAUGCAUAUUAACUAAUCAUGUAUUCACUUUAUUUUUCCCCAGUUGUGCUCAAGUAAUUAGGUGUUGGGGCACACCUAGUGAUAAAACCCCGCAUCCGGCUAUCCAUGAUUUUUGAGCUACAACAUGUAAAAGGUUGCUUGAAAACGAGUGACGAGAACACACUUGUAUGUUAGGCUUGUUUUAUUAUGUGCUGACAUUCAAGAUAUUUUGGACUCUCCGAAGCAAUAUUCGGAUGGCAGUGACCUGGUCAUAAUAGCUAAGAUUGAUGUUGAUGGAGAGAAAGUUGUAAUGAAGGUAUAUAUGUUUGCUUCAUUUACCCAUGGUACGGUAGUGGCGUGAAAAAUGUGGAUCAUUUCUUCUAGAAGUUACACAUUCAUCAGUUAUUGGAAGGAAUUUCCAAUUCGAAAUUUAGUAAUAAAAAUAGCUAUGUCCUCAUAUUCCUCUAAAUGACCUCACCCACAAUCGCUCCUAACAUAUUGGAUCUGAACUUUUCUGAAGGAUCGCUCCAUCUGGAUCAGCACUAUCUGUGAGAUUUAAACAUGUUCUUCAAUCCUGCGGAAAAGUUUUGUAUAGUGGAAUUUGCCCUCCAACUAGAAGAUAUCAAUAAACAAAAUAGGGGAACAAUUAGAGAGUAAAGGCUUGAGACCAAUACAUGUUGAGCCAUGGAAACACACUAAUCAUGUUGUAAUGAUUUUCCUGCUUGUGCUCUGUAGUUUGUUCAUUGUGUUUCCAAUGUAUUUGUCAUUACUGCUGUCUGGCACAACUCGUGAUGCACACAAUCUUCCUUGCUGGUUUCCAGAUGAGGUUAGUAAUUUGUGUUUUUCCCAUAGCCGCCUUUUCUUGGUAUACAUCAACUUCGAAGUUCAACUUGAUUUCCAUUGAAGUAUAACAGCGGUGAGUUUUUUUUGCAAGUUGAUUUCCUUAACACUAAAGGAGGAUAUGAUGUAGAGUUGCAAAGAAAGACACUAAAGACAUGUUUUUUUCAUUUGCAUGCAUUGUCUUUACAAAUUCUAACAAAAUAUUAUAUCCAUCGUCUAGACACUUUUCUAUGGAAACUCCUAUCAUUUCAUCGCAAAUAUAGACGGGUGCAAUGACGCGCGCCGAUCAUGAUCUAGUAUAUAAUCCCUCCGUCCGGAAAUACUUAUCGCACAAAUAGAUAAAAUUGGAUGUAUCUAGAACUAAAAUACGUCUAGAUACAUCCAUUUCCCCGACAAGUAUUUCCGGACUGAGGGAGUACUAGGAGAGGUACAUACUAAGACAUCUUAACUCUUCCAAAUACUACAUCCGCCCGGGAUUAAACGUUACACAUUAAUCAUGUGGCAGGUGCAUGGAUCUCGAAAUGUCAGCCCAAAAUUCCCUGCACGGUUAGACCAAUACCAGGCGCAGAAUGCAACUCAGGCGAUCGAGUAAGUUGCACCAUCCUGCACUGUUGAGGCCGGGGUUGAUAACCCUGAGGGCCAAGCCCCCUCCCCCUCUCCAAACACACACACAUCCACGCACGCACGCAGGCACGCACACACACACGGGAAAAGCUUAUACACAGAAUCUUACCAGCAGCGCGGUUUAAAAUAAGGCGAUACUGCUACUUACCAGUAGCGCGCUGAAAUAAAACGCGCUACUGAUACCCAUGUAGCAAUAGCGCGCUAGGAAAAAAGAGCACUACUACUACAAUUGCCACAACGUUGCCACCAGACUAGGUAUAGUAGUACCGCCGGUUUUGUAAACGCACUACUGCUACUGAACUUAGCAGCAGCGCUUUUCGCCCACCCUCGCUACUGCUAAGUUUAGUCCACUCGUUGCAAGUAAGUUUAGUCCCACCUCACUCCGCGAACAGGGUGUUUACCACCUUAAAUACGUUACUUCUCAAACCAUCACAACCACUUGGUCUUCAUUGAACUCUAUGUGUAGGAUCUGUGGCCGCAAUAGGAAUCUUCACCGGUUUAAGAACUGGUGAAGAUUCCUAUUGACAAUUUAGAUUCUACACGAAAAGAUCAUUGAUGACCAAUGUAUUUUUUAUUUUUUUACAUGCUUAGCCUUAGCACUAGCACAUUUUGCAGAAAGCGCUACUGCCUAUAGCAGUAGCGCUUCUCGAGUAAAAAGCGCUACUGCUAUGGAGUUUAGCAGUAGCGCUUUAUCGGCACUACAAAAAGAAUACACAUCCGUGACAUUUUGGGCCGAACGAAAAACAUUUCUGUCAUACUUAUGACACUUCUAUGACAAUAAUUGUGACAAAACCCGGUAUCAUCAUAGAUGUGGUGGGGUCCUACUUCUAUGACAAAAAAUCAUGAAAAAAUGGGCUUUUUGUCCUGGGUGGGCCGGAGACGCAGCUGCAUGACAUUCUUUGGGCCGUCCAUGACGGAAAAAACCGUGGUAGAAGCUAGGGCGCGGAAAAUAUCGGGGAGUUCCCGGUUACGGUGGGUGGUCGGGGGCUGAGCGGUGCGCGUUUCUCUCAUACACGUACGCGCGUGGGUGUGAGGCGUUGGGCUCUAACUGAACCCAAGCGAGGUGUUGGGCUCUAACUGAACCGAGCGAUUGCUCUGCAGGCUACGCGUUACACUGAACCCGAGCGAUCGAUCGAUCCCUUGCUGUUAACUGAACCCGAGUGAUUCCUUCGCUACUGCAGCUAACUGAAGUCGAUCGAUGCUGCCUCUGGAUGAACAGUGAGCGUUGUUGGGGGUUUGGAUGAACAGUUCCCGGUAGGGGUUGGAUGAACAGGAACCUAUGGUAGUAGGGGCCGUUGCCGCUGGAUGAACAGUACCCUGAUCGAUCGAGCCGGUAGAUGAACAGGACCCCGUGGAGGGCUGGUUGAAGAGUAGCCGGUGGAGGGCUGGUUGAACAGUAGCCGGUGGAGGGCUGGUUGAAUAGUAGCCGGUGGAGGGCUGGAUGAACAGUAGCCGGUGGAGGGGUGGUUGAAUAGGACCCCCGUGGAGAUGGCUGGUUGAACAGUAGCCGGUGGAGGAGCGCGCGGCGGAGGCUGGAUGAACAGGAUCCCGUGGAUGAAUAGUCGCUGGUGGAGGCUCGAGGAGGUCGCCGGUGGAGGAACAGUAGCCCAAGGAGGCUAGAGGAGGUCGACAGUGGAGAUGAACAGUAUCCCGUGGAGUCCCGUUUUGCGGUACGCCACACCCUUCCUGAUGAACAGGACCCCCGUUUCGACUGUAGCGCUCCAACACAAAUCCGUUUCCUCUGUUUUGCGGUACGCCACACCCCCCGAUCAACAGGACCCUGUUUCGACCGUAGGAGGUCCGUUUCCUCCGUUUUGCGGUACGCCAGACCCCUCCCGAUGAACAGCGUCCCGUUUCCACCGUGGCCGGUCGAACACAAGACCGUUUCCUCCGUUCUACGGUACGCUAGGCCUCGUUUCUAUCGCCUGUUCCGUCCAAGCCGGUUGGCUCCCGAUGAACAGCACGCGUUCCGUUGCCUCCUGAUGAACACGACCCAUUCUGUUGCCUCCCCAUGAACACGAAGACGAUGCAGUUUCUCCGUUCCGACCCAGCACACGAGCCCUGGUCGUAUGUAUGCGCGAGUAGGCGUUCGAGACCCUGCCCGUAUGUACGUACGUGGCCGUAUUUUCUCUCUUGCACCCUGGCCGCUGUACGUAUGUGUACAUGCUACGUGCGCGCAUGUACUACCACACAUGCGCGCCUCUACUAUGACACGUGCCCUUCCUUACACGGCCACGGUUCAUCGCGACCAGUACAUACGUACACGUUCGCGACCAGAAUGACAACGCUACGUAUGCUUCGACCGGGUGGGUCCCGACUGUCAGGCACUUCCUUUCAUGCGAAGAUGUAGCUGGUGGGUCCCGACAGUCAGGGGGGCGAAUCAUUUUUUUGCCCGUAAUAUGGACGCACUUCCUUGUGUGCGAAGAUAUAGCUGGUGGGACCCAGCAGUCAGGGGGAGAAAACAUUAUUUUUCAGGGUAAAAAGGAUGCAGUUGCAUGCAUGCGUCCAUGGGCGUGGUGCGUCCCCACUGUCAGCCUCUCACGUACAGUCAUCUUCCGAUGACUCUCAGUUGUUGACCACACUAUGCCGAGCGCACCAAGGCCGGUGGACGACGGCGAGGCCCCAGACUGGAACGACCCGGAGAUGGGGAAGACGCGGUAGUGGAGUUGUAGAUGGGGAGGAGUGGGAAACUUGACUGGUUCGGGUGCGCGGCAGCACUGCCGCCCACGGGAGACAGGAGCAAGAACAGAGGUUGAAGAAGGAGCACGGCUGUUGGAUUAACAUCCAAUGGUCCAGCUGCUAGAAUCAUUUGUUGAUUAAGUUGACAAAGUCCUGCGUACACGUCUGCUUAGUAGGCCCACAAGUCAGCCACCAAAUCUGCCAAGUCCCAGCUGUCAUCGGGAGGAAUGGUUUUUUUCGCAUAACAAGGAGGCACUUCCUUCCGUGCAAAGAUACAGCUGGUGGGUCCCAGCUGUCAGGGGGGAGGAAACAGCUUAAUAAGGAGGAACUUUCCUUGCGUGCGACCAUGGACCUCGUGGGUCCCAGCCGUCAGGCUCUCCACAUACAGUCCUCUUCUGAUGACUCUCGUAUGUUGACCACGCCGCGCCGAGCCCACCGAGGCGGUGGACGAAGGCGAGGCCCCAGACUGGAACGACCCAGAGAUGGGGAAGACGCGGCAGUGGAGUCGCAGACGGAGAGGAGUGGGAAACUUGACUAGUUCGGGUGCGGUGUGGGCCUACACUCGGCAGAGAAUAACAGGAGGUGCGGAGUGGAGGGAUGGCCUGGCCGUCGGCGGGGUAGCGUUUCGCUGAGGCACGCAAAACAACGCCGCUGGACGCCGGAGGCUGGAGCAGGCGGUCCCGGCAGCGCUGGGGGAAGAAGACGAGAGAUUGAAGAAGAAUGCCGGCCAUUGGAUGUAAAUCCAACGCCUUCUUAGGCUUCGACCUACUGGCCCACAUGUCAGCCAACCCAUUUGUUUUUUAGUCCAUUUGGUGGGCUGGGUGAAACAGUGAUGUAGCAUCUAUGUAGCCCGUUUAUAUAUAUGGUAGAAUUUAAAGCCCAUUUGCAUUUUUCUCAAAAUCCGCGGACUUGCUGGGCUGGGUGAAAAUAUCAUGUUGGGCUAGACGGAGAAAUGUUAUAAAAACAUAAACACAUGAUUGCACGUCUAUUACUGCAUUGGUCAGUAAAAUCUUUGCAAGCUUAUGUACGCAAUCACUAGGAGUUAACUUGCCAAGUUAUAUAUAAACAAUUAUUAUUAUUAUUUUGUAAGAACUUUCAACUUACAAAAUAAAAUAUCAUUUUAAUUUGAUGAGUUAAUAGUACGUGGGGUAUUAUUAUUUUUUAGGCUAGACGUGGGAUACUUGAGUUGGUUCUAGGGAAAAGUACUGGGAGAAAACUCAGUUUACAUCGAAAAAGAAAGUGGGAGAAAAUUCAGAUAUAGGAUUAAUGAAAACGAAAAGUAAAGGAAGUGGGAAGGUCCAUAAAAUGGUUGGACGAACGACAGGUUUAACGGAACCUUAUGAUGUUUCUAUUAUAUAUAUAUAUAUGUGUGUGUGUGUGUGUAAUAAAAUAAGAUAAAUAUAGGUACAGUUUUGCAUUCCUAUAGAAAACAUAGGUUCAGUUUUGCAUUCUUAUAGAAAAAUAGAACUGAGCUGUGCGUCGUCUUGAAAAAACAAACAUAACUUGGGCUGCUGAUGUUAUAGGCAAGCUAGGUUGGGAGGCCCAGAGGCCGCUUGAUACCUGCUGGAUCCAAAAAAUGUUGAAACAUGUCGUGGGCUGCCCAUGUUAAACAACAAAACCUAGGCCAUGGACCUGGUGGGCCCGGGACUGUCAGCCUCUCGACGGACAGUUGCCUCUCGAUUCCUCUUGUUUUGCUGACCAUGUUGGGAACGACAGAUGGCGGCGCCGCGGCGAGAGCACCAAGGCGGAGGACGACGUCGAGACCUCGGACCGAACGAACAAGAGCGGGGGAAGACGCAGGCGGAGGGGAGUACGAGGGUUGACUUGUUCGGGUGCAGGGUGGGCCGAUGGAGCCGCCGCCGCCGGAGAAUGUGUGGGAGUAGAGGGAUGGCCUGGCCAAUGCCAUAGGCCAUGAUGGCCAGCCGUUGUAUAGGAAGAGGACGGAAGAUUUUACAAAAUAAAGAAAUACAAAUGUAUAGGUGGUUGGUCCCAUAUGUCUGUGUACGAGACCUGCUGGGUCCACCUGAGAAGGGGAAUAUGUUGGGAGGAAGGAGAUUCAAAGCACGGCAGCCGAGUGAACUAGUUUUUUUAACGGACAAGUGAACUAGUUACAUACAUAAGCAAAUAGCCAUUAAAAAAAGCAAACAGGUUAAUGGGUUCUUAAAAGAAAUAUUUCGGACAAAACAGAUAAUUAUGACACAUAGGCUAAUGCAUGAAACACUCAGAUGAUAAAGGUGCUUAUAAACAGAUAAAGUACAACAUCUAGACCUUCCUGGCACGCUUGAUCAUGACGCUGCGGCUGUCCGUGUACUCAUCGGUUACGGGAAGCAGACACGCCCUCAUGUCCAAGAUCCGCCUGUACAUGUCGUAGCAUGCGUAUGCGUCCUUGGCCGCGUAGGUUAUGUAGGCUAGAAUCAGAGGUACCUCUCAUGUGUUCAGGUCCUUGGUAUCGUUGUCUUCUUUCAUGUUGGUGUAUCAGGGGUCGAUGAUGGUCUCGGCGAGGUCAACCACAGAGUCCUUCUCCUGCCCGUUGUCGAUGAUCUUGUAUUGCUUCUGGAUGUCGACAAGCUUGUUGCACCGAAUGCCGAAUCGUCGCGUUCUUCCUUCUCUCCACCGUAGCGAAGGUGCAGUCGGCGCUGCCGAUGAAACGGGCGAAUGCUCCAAAACCUCUGAUGGCCCUACAGUAGUGGUAGAUGAGAACCUCGUCCCGCACACAUACCUGGGCGACGGCGAUCCACUGGUCCCUGUCAGGAGAAGAAUGGAUGGGCACAAGGUCUAGUCCUGCGACCUUGUGCUUUCUCGUCCUGUAGGUACUGCUUGAACUUGGUGAGGCAGAGCUUCACCGAGUCCGGAUCGUUGGUGUACAUCACAUUCAACUUGGUGCAGCCAUAGGAUUGAACGGCGAACUCAAAGGGGAACUCCUUGCUGAAGUCCAUAUCCAGCAGGCUCACCCCUCGGAUCGCCAUUGGAGUCUCUUUAAGUGAACGAGUGGGUAGGCGGCGGCAGCAGUUCGCUUUUUAGCUCUUGGGGAACUGGAUUCAACAGUAAAGAAACCUACUCCGGCCACACGUCGAUUCACGAGCGGGUCUGUAUUGGUACUGUAAUAACAAGAGUUAGUGGUCACUUUACUUAAAUUUAAUUAGCUUUAAUAGAAAUUUAUACUUAAAACAAGUAAUGCAUUGGCUCGUUCUAUCAGUGCCACAGGAUCAACAUGCACAACAAUUAGAAUUAUUAUUCUCAGGACGCACACGAUCAGCACAUUUUUCGCACUUUCACACAGAUAAUACUACCAAGUUUGAACUGUUUGUUAUGGUUGUUGUCCUCUGCAUCAUCAUGCCGUGUUUCCCAGCUUGCAAGAUUCAGAACCAACAAAUAAGAUCCAAAUAAUAAAUAAAACAAAGAUGCCUACACAUCUCAUUGAUUCCCAGCUUGCAAGAUUCAUAACCAACAAAUAAGAUUCAAAUAAUAAGUACAACAAAUAUGCCUACACAUCUCAUUGAUUCCCAGCUUGCAAGAUUCAGAACCAACAAAUAAGAUUCAAAUAAUAAGUACAACAAAGAUGCCUACACAUCUCACUGAUUCCCAGCUUGCAAGAUUCAGAACCAACCCAUUAGAGCCUUUUGAUAAAGUGAAUAUCGGGAUUAAAUCCAUCUUGGCUAGCCGUGUCAUACAACCGAAGAACUUGGCGAAUGCUCUUGACCCUCACAACAUCUGUAGUUGAGUAUUCCUAUUUGCACAGCACAAACAAGAAGAGCAUGAUUACUAUAAUAGUGGCACUCCUUGAACUCAACCUGCAGCUCUACUCGGAUGAGGCCUGCCUGGAGUUCCACGAUUCAAUUCAUGCGCCUUUUUCUGCAGUUCACCUGAAAUGAAGCAAAGAUUGCAUCAUUCAGCUAGCAAGAAGUACUUGCUCUCGUGAGCUGGCAGGUUCUUCUUUAGUAGUUGCACUAAAAUUGAGGAACAUUAAAGUUGGCUAUCCGGCUCAUGUAAGGUGCAACUAUAAUUUGCUUAUCCUUUUGUGCAGUUCCACUAAAAUAAAGUGCCAUUGUGGUGAAAGUGACGGCUCAUCUUGCAAAGUCUAAUAAAAUGUUGCACGAGAUUACCAGCAGAACUUGACGGAGAUUUUGGAAACUCCAAUCACCAUUUUGUGCAGUUCCACCAAAAUUGAGAGAUGUUGCCCACGUGACAUUUUAGUUGAACUGCACAAGGCACUCAUUCCAAAAAAAAAGUGUUUUGUGCAGUUCACCAAAAGGUCACAAUAGCCACAAGGUGAAAUAGAUAUCCCUAUCUGCAUAAAAAGAUAGAAAGUAAACAGUUGCUGGUCAAUAAGAAUAUACGAAACAUACACGAAAUGAAAAGAAGCAUCUUAAGUAUGUUCAUGCCAAUCACGCAAGGACAGUAGAAAUUUUAAAACGUCAGCAAUGCUUCAUGUUACCGGAAGCAUUACGAUCAACAAUGACAUUCGUCAAAUAUGGGAUUACUGUAAUGGUGGCAUUGCUUGUUUACCAGAUACAGUAAAUCAACAGCAGCUAAAGAGUUGGUUUAAGGGCAUGGGACCGUGGGGACACCAGGACACUCAGCCGCGUAAAGGAGCAACUUACUUAUCAUACUGGGGGAAACAACUGGAGUACCAUUUGUAACAUAGUUUAAUUGCAUCUUAUCACUGGAGGCAUUAGAUUAACAAUAACACUGGUUAGACAUGUCCCUAAGGUAACAGUGUGAUCGCUUCAUUUUAUAUGCGUCCUUACAUUAACAACAGCAAAAGGUUGGUAUAAGGAUAUGCGAUAGUGGACGCAUCAGCACAAUGUACCUACAAGGAGGCAUAAAGUGAGGGCAGCAAAUCUAAUCCUGGAGACCUUUUACUAUGUGAGGGCAGCAAACCUAGUCCUAGAGAGCUUUUACUAUGUGAGGGCAGCAAAUCUAAUCCUAGAGACCUUUUACUAUGUGAGGGCAGCAAAUCUAAUCCUGGAGACCUUUUACUAUGUGAGGGCAGCAAAUCUAAUCCUGAGACCUUUUACUAUGUGAGGGCAACAAUUCUAAUAUUGGAGACCUUUACUAUGUGAGGGCAACAAAUCUAAUCCUCGACAUACUCUGUUGACUUGUCCACCAGCCGCCACUUUCUAUCCUUUUUUCAACCAAUAAUAGAUCUGUUCCUUAUCUAGUUUGUACUGCGUUUUCCCAUUAUUUCCCUUCACUACAAGAAAUAUGUCAACUAGUGACCUUCUGUCAGUGACCCUGGAAGAAUUGGUCAUAGAUCUAUGACCAUUUCAGACCAAUUGGUCAAAAGCUGUUCGGGGGGCUCCAAACCCUAAACAAUAACGACCAUUUUGGUCAGAAAGGUCGUAAUUUCCUUACACGAAAUGGUCAUAAAGCAGAUAGCACUGGUCCGCUGCCUUAUUUCUAGCUGAUCAUGACCAAUAUAGAUGGUCAUAACCUUGUAAAUUGUGGUGGGUUGCUAUGACUAGGCGCCACCUCAUCAGUUUUGCCUAUGUGUCAUGUCCAUGUGGCAGUUUUUGCCCUAGGUUGUGAAGCAACCAAUAUUUCUGUCAUUCCGAAAAUUCCCAAAAAAAUCUCAUAAAUUCUUUGAGUCAUAUCUUCGUCAAAUAUGUAAAAAACCUUCCUUGCCUAGUUCAAAACUAGUUCAAAAAUAUUCAUUUUCCUAUUUUGUUCAAAAAAACACUUUGUGAAGGAAGUACCACUUUGGCAUGUCCAGAUAGUAUCCAUUUUCUACAGUGCUUUCCUAUGCCCAAAUAACCAUCCUACACCAAAUGCUAGGUCAAUCCAUUCAUUAUUUUGAGCCCAGCUUCAAUAUUCGUAUUUAUGUCCAGUGUGGUACUUUGAAAAGCAAGUACCACCUAGGCUCCUCAUUUUGAGCUGAAAUUUUGUGAAGACGGUCUUCUUUGUAACUGAUCAUCCUCAGCCAAAACUCAUGCCCAUUAGCCAUCUGCAUUUCCCGUACCGCUAAUCAAACACUUGGGUGCUUAUUCAUGUUUGAGCAUCGAUCGGUCUCCUCGUGAGAAUCUUAUGUUGUGAUUUUCUUCCUAGCACAUACCUGGGGAGUGCCCAACCCACUAGACAUGCCUAGGCCGCCCAAAACACAUGGCAACGCCACGGUCACGCGGUGACCUCGCGGCGGGCAUGCGAGUUUACGCGCUCUAGAGUUGGGGCCCUCGGCCAUCGUCCAAACCUCAACGUAUCGCCACCAAACCAUGUAUUUCUGAUUUAAUAGGUACUUAUGUAACUAGAAAUGAUUUUUGGAAAAAAAAUAAAUAGCAAACUAUGAGGCAGCUGCAAUUCAAAUUUGACCCGCUUCCUACUGAAUCGGCGAGAAUUUGUCUUUUUCACCAGAGGUGGAUCAAAACUUUUGACACCCAACCAUUUUGUCAAUUGUGCAUUAAAUAUGUCCUAGUAUUUUAGAAAAUUGAUUUGGUCCAAUUUUGCAACAAAUAUAUGGUAGGUCCUUCACAAAAAAUACUCAUUUCAGGCACUCGGAAAAUGGAAAAUGAAUUUUCCGUGCAAAGAAGUGAAAACUCCUUUAGGCAACAUUGUUUGGAAUUCCCAGACGCACCCUUUGUGCACAAUAUGAGAUCAUUUGAACAAACUAUGCCAUGAAUGUGGCCAUAAGAUUGAUCAUUUGGCUUGAAAGCCAUGAAUCUUCACGCAUGAUAGCCCAUUUAUGAGAACACUUUUUUAAAAUAAUUUCCAUAUUACAAGUUUAUUAUUGUUCGUGGAAACUUGGCCACAUAUAAUGACACAAUGCGAAGGUUUUCCAUUUUUUGAUUUUUUUUUUGAAUUUUUUAUGCCCGUUUCAAAAUGCGGUCAAAAUGGCGGGCUUAACCGUUCCUAGCUAGUGGUUGAAACUUGGAAAACAUUUGAUGUUUCCCUGAUUAAAUAGAUACUUAUGUACCUAGAAAUGAUUUUUGGAAAAAAUAAAGAACAAACUAUGAGGCAGCUACAGUUCAAAUUUGACCCGCUUCAUGUUGAAUCGGCUAAAAUUUGUCUUUUUCACCUGAGAUGGACCAAAGCUUUUUACACCCAACCAUUUUGUCAAUUGUGCUUUAAAUAUGGCCUACUAUUUAAGAAAAUUGAUUUGGUCCAAUUUUGCAACAAAUAUAUGGUAGGUCCUUCACAAAAAACCUCAUUUCGGGCACUCAAAAAAUGGAAAAUGAAUUUUUCGUGCAAAGAAAAUGAAAACUUCCUUAGGCAACAUUGUUUUGAAUUCCAAGAUGCACCCUUUUGCACAAUAUGAGAUCAUUUGAACAAACUAUGCCAUGAAUGUGGCCAUAAGAUUGAUCAUUUGGCUUGAAAGCCAUGAAUAUUCACGCAUGAUAGCUCAUUUCUGAGAACACUUUUUUAAAAUAAUUUUCAUAUUUCAAGUUUAUUAUUUUUCCUGGAAACUUGGCCACAUAUAAUGACACAAUGCGAAGGGUUUCCAAUUUUUUUAUUUUUGAAUUUUUUAUGCCCGUUUCAAAAUGCGGGCAAAACGGCGGGCUUGACCGUUCCUAGGUAGUGGUUGAAUCUUGAAAAACAUUUGAUGUUUCUCAUAUUAAAUAGAUACUUAUGUACCUAGAAAUGAUUUUUGGAAAAAAUAAAUAGCAAACUAUGAGGCAGCUACAGUUCAAAUUUGACCCGCUUCCUACUGAAUCGGCAAAAAUUUGUCUUUUUCACCAGAGACAGACCAAAGCUUUUGACCCCCAACCAUUUGGUCAUUUGUGCAUUAAAUAUGGCCUAGUAUUUUAGAAAAUUUAUUUGGUCCAAUUUUGCAACAAAUAUAUGGUAGGUCCUUCACAAAAAAACCUCAUUUCGGGCACUCGAAAAAUGGAAAAUGAAUUUUUCGUGCAAAGAAAAUGAAAACUCCCUUAGGCAACACUGUUUUGAAUUCCAAGAUGCACCCUUUUGCACAAUAUGAGAUCGUUUGAACAAACUAUGCCAUGAUUGUGGCCAUAAGAUUGAUCAUUUGUCUUGAAAGCCAUGAAUCUUCACACAUGAUAGCUCGUUUCUGAGAACACUUUUUUAAAAUAAUUUCCGCAUUACAAGUUUAUUAUCCUUCCUGGAAACUUGGCCACAUAUAAUGACACAAUGCGAAGGUUUUCCAUUUUUUUGAUUUUUUCUGAAUUUUUUAUGCCCAUUUCAAAAUGCGGUCAAAACGGCGGGCUUGACCGUUCCUAGCUAGUGGUUGAAUCUUGGAAAACAUUUGAUGUUUCUCUGAUUAAAUAGAUACUUAUGUACCUAGAAAUGAUUUUUGGAAAAAAUAAAUAGCAAACUAUGAGGCAGCUACAGUUCAAAUUUGACCCGCUUCGUGCUGAAUCGGCGAAAAUUUGUCUUUUUCACCAGAGAUGGACCAAAGCUUUUGACACCCAACCAUUUGGUCAUUUGUGCAUUAAAUAUGGCCUAGUAUUUUAGAAAAUUGAUUUGGUCCAAUUUUGCAAUAAAUAUAUUGUAGGUCCUUCACAAAAAAACCUCAUUUCGGGCACUCGAAAAAUGGAAAAUGAAUUUUUCGUGCAAAGAAAAUGAAAACUCCCUUAGGCAACAUUGUUUGGAAUUCCAAGAUGCACCCUUGUGCACAAUAUGAGAUCAUUUGAACAAACUAUGCCAUGAAUGUGGCCAUAAGAUUGAUCAUUUGGCUUGAAAGCCAUGAAUCUUCACGCAUGAUAGCUCGUUUCUGAGAACACUUUUUAAAAAUAAUUUUCGUAUUACAAGUUUAUUAUUUUUCCUGGAAACUUGGCCACAUACAGUGACACAAUGCGACGGUUUUCCAAAUUUUUGAUUUUUUUUGAAUUUUUAUGCCCGUUUCAAAAUACGGUCAAAACGGCGGGCAUGACCGUUCCUAGCUAGUGGUUGAAUCUUGGAAAACUUUUGAUGUUUCUCUGAUUAAAUAGAUACUUAUGUACCUAGAAAUGAUUUUUGGAAAAAAUAAAGAGCAAACUACGAGGUAGCUACACUUCAAAUUUGACCCACUUCCAGCUGAAUCGGCGAAAAUUUGUCUUUUUACCGGAGGUAGAUCAAAACUUUUGACGCCCAACCAUUUGGUCAAUUGUGCAUUAAAUAUGUCCUAAUGUUUUAGAAAAUUGAUUUGAUACAAUUUUGCAACAAAUAUAUGGUAGGUCAUUUACAAAAAAAAUUAUUUUGGACACUCAAAAAAUGGAAAAUUGUUUUUUCAUGCAAAAGAAAUAAAAACUCCCUUUGUCAAUGUUGUUUGCCAAUCUAAGAUGAAACUUGUGCAAAAUAUGACAUCAUUUGAACAAAUAUUAUAUAGGUCUUUAAAAAAAGUCAUUUUAAGCAUUGAAAAAUGGAAUAAAAAUUUUGUAUGUAAUCAAUCAUGACCAAUUUAUAUGGUCAAAAAAUCGUCAAAUUGUUUGGUGCGCUCUGAUUGGUCCAUAGGCAUAUCACGCGGAUCAUGCAUCAAUCACCGUCGGAUGCAUCUGGAUCCAACGGCAGCCCUCGCCCCCUCACCCUCUCACCCAAACCCUAGCUUCCCCGAUCCACUCCUCUCCCCAGAUCCACUCUCCCCCUCUCGUCCCACAGCCGCCACCCCCAACCCUCUCGAUCCCCAACCACCAAGCCGCCGCUGGCGCCGUCCUCCGUCCUCUCCCCCAACCCUGGCCGCCGGCAACCCCUCCCCUUCUGUCCCACGGCCGCGGUCGGAUCCGCGCUCCCUCCUCACUCAUGACCUAGANNNNNNNNNNNNNNNNNNNNNNNNNNNNNNNNNNNNNNNNNNNNNNNNNNNNNNNNNNNNNNNNNNNNNNNNNNNNNNNNNNNNNNNNNNNNNNNNNNNNNNNNNNNNNNNNNNNNNNNNNNNNNNNNNNNNNNNNNNNNNNNNNNNNNNNNNNNNNNNNNNNNNNNNNNNNNNNNNNNNNNNNNNNNNNNNNNNNNNNNNNNNNNNNNNNNNNNNNNNNNNNNNNNNNNNNNNNNNNNNNNNNNNNNNNNNNNNNNNNNNNNNNNNNNNNNNNNNNNNNNNNNNNNNNNNNNNNNNNNNNNNNNNNNNNNNNNNNNNNNNNNNNNNNNNNNNNNNNNNNNNNNNNNNNNNNNNNNNNNNNNNNNNNNNNNNGCAUGGCGGCGGCCAGAUCCACCCCGUCCCCCUCCCUCCCAUCUCGAUCCGCUGUCACCCCCACCGUCGACGACCCGCGACAGCGGCAGUGGUCUCGCGAGCCAGAUCAUAAGGACGUCCCCUUCCUCCCGAUCUCAUCGUGCUCCUCUCGAGUGUAUUUGGUUUUGAUCGGCCGGCGACCCCAUGGCGUCCAUCGUGGUGAUCGGCCUGGUGCUGCUCCUCGACAUCCUCUCCUUCGUCCUCGCCAUCGGCGCCGAGCGUCGCCGGAGCACGGUGAGCCGCACCAUCUCCUGGCCAACUCGUUCAAGCAUCUGUCUAUGUAUGCGUAUGUGCUCAGGCCGGAGGCAUCGGGUUCUUGAAUCUUGAUUGGGGAAACUGGGUGCAGGCGCAACUCGGCGAGGCCGAGCCUGGUGGCAGGCGGUACUGCGUGUACGACACGGAUGCGUCCACCUGGUACGGCGUCGGCGCACUCGCCCUGCUGCUGGUCGGGCAGACUAUCGCCAUGGUGGCCAGCCGGUGCUUCUGCUGCGGCAGCGCUGUCCCCCGACCGCUGGCGCUUCUUCUCCGGCCUCUGCUGGUAAGUCAGACGAUUUACAAAUCCUGAUGCCUGAUCUCAUCCAUCCAUGGUUGAUCGCUAGUUUCCAGCCUGCCGAUUAGUAUCUACUGCUGCUGCUUAUUUGUUCGUGCGAUUGCGCCCCUGUAGUUCAGGCCUUUUGCGGUCGCACACCUGAUCGCGCUGAUUGAGCGGUGCGCUGGUUAAUUAUUGCAAGCACCAUCUGGAUCGAUAUGUUUAAUCACACAUGUCUGCGCCCUAUAGGCAAUGCAUGUUUCCCGUGCUUAUGAUUUAGGAGGAUGCCCUUUGGCUGUCACUCAUGCUUUCACUCAUUUAUUUAUUCUUGCAAGUUCGGUACACAUUGUCGUACUACUACUAGUGCUUGUAUGUUCAGCUGUCAAAUUUUCUCUUCCCCACCAUGGAGUACUUACUAGUGGAAGGGAAUGAUGCUGCAUUAGCAUACACUUAGAGUCUGUACAUACAUAUUACACAGUAAUUUUGAACAAAUUUGAUCCUUCAAUCUGCUCUCUAGCACUUAAAAAUUCAUUUGGUGCCUAAUUGGUAGGCUUCCUCUGUUUCCUUGCUGCAGGUAUUUACCAGGGUGGUGCGUGGAAGGUCAGGGUUGAACUUACAGAAGCUUACCCCUACAAAUCGAUAUAUCAGAACUAGUUUACUAGUCUUGACUUUGAGGAUUUUUACUAACUGAAGCACCACAUUUUUGCUGUUGUCCUGCUGUUGCUGCAGACCUUGUGAAUAUCUUUGAGGUGUUCCUGCCUCAGCUUCUCCUGUACCCUAACCCCUCGGACCCGUGACUCCUACAUGCUCCUUUUCUAGCAUGGCACGAGGUCCAGGCCCCUGGUAUUUCUUUUUUGCCAUGCACGCGCCGGCAUGUCUGCCUGCCUGCCCGUGCCAUGCCACGCCAUUGCUGCAGCACCACUGAUCUGUUCUACCAGCAUUAAUAAUAAGUGUGUCUAAGUGUGUCCUGCUGAACCUGACAGUAGCUACCACUGUCAGUGCACCUGUGCUUGCCAUUUUCUGUGUUACUCAUCUGUCCCAUAAGUUUGCAUUACUCUGCAUAGAGCUUGCUUCAAAACAUUGCAUUGUCCGAGUGAGUUUGGGGUUUACAGUAUUCAUAUUGUCUGAUGUUGAGUUUGUGUCACUCUGCAUGCCCAUACUAUUAGCUUCCGUUCUUCAUUGCUGGUGCUGAUAAUCACCAGUGUCCGAGUAAGCGUGGAGUUUACAGUAUUAAUAUCGUGUGAUGAUGAGUUUGUGUCACUCUGCAUGCAUGCCGAGUUCUCCAUAAGCAUUGCUUUGCUACUCUGCUUUCGUUCCUCGCUGCUGCUGCUGGUAAUCACUUUGGCGGUACAAGCCUUUUAGGUGAUACAUCGUCAACAAAACAUGCUAAGCUUGCCUAUUCGAUACACAUGCUUAGGCACAAUCGUUAGGACCGGGCUCCGCGCGGCAAGGCGCGCUACAGGUCUAGUAAAACAUGAGGUCUAGUACAACAUGACAGUCAUAAAGUUGCAUUAUUUAGCCACUGGUAGGGUAGGAUAUACCCUAAUGUGGUCAGUAUAGGAACCAGGGUCCCCUAAUUGCUAGCAAAACUUAUGUAAUGAGCUCUUGUUACCUUCUACUAAUGUUUAGUCUUGUUUUUUUAGUACUUCUGUAUUGGUAUCCAGAAAUAAAAUUCAUAUGUUUAUAUAUAUGUUCUUUUAUAUAAGUAUGUCAAUACAUAACUAGUAAUGUAAAUGGUGUGACGCAGUUCUAAAUAAAAAUGCAAAUAGCUUGUGAAUGUCAAUCUCAUGUGAGUCAGUCAAGGAACUUACUAUAUUAGUCUCUUAGACCAAUACACGCUUUUCUGUAACUUUAGAUAUUUUCCAAAAUACUUUGCUUGGUCCUUCAUAUCUAAAGCUUGCAUGUACUAUAGAAGCUCUACUUUAUGCUAAUACUUGCUUGUGUAACAUCUUUCAUGGCAUACUUCUAAAUGGACAAGUACGUGCGACGUCCAGCGUCAACGAUGAUGCGGACCAUAUGUUCAACUGCAGCCCCAUCCAUUCCAUCGACACAAAGGUAUGUACUCUGUCUUGCUGAACAGAUAUGGGCUUGAUGCUUGAUGUCCUUAUGCCUGAUGCAUGUAUCAUGUCACAUACACAUAAUUAACUUUGACAUAGUUGCUCUGUUACAGCAGAUGGCAAGAUGAAUAGCUAGUGUCUGUUUAAUUCCAUCAUGCACCUGGUAGUUUAAUAGGUACUAUUGAUUGAAUAUGAAUGUUAUUCCAUAUACUCAACUGGAACUUCAAUCUGCUGUAACUUUGAAUGAUGGUUUUUAAACCUUGUCGUGUAUGUGAAACAUUCCAUGCUCGUUUGCUGCUAAGUUUGUCAUAUGUGCCAAUUCAAUUCCCAAUUUUGAUCAAUAGCCAUAUUCUGGAUAAGUAGAAUGAUCUGGUUAAUAAUAAUAAUAAGUAGAAUGAUAAUAUACUGGUGUAUCUUUACCUUUUAUUUUAAAAGUACUCUGUAUUCUAUCAGUGACAUACCUUUUGUUCUCUUUUGAAUGCUCAGAUGUUUUGCAUCAGCCUGUCAUUGCUUGCUAAGGGAGAAGCGGGACUUGGAGAAGAAAUCUUUCCAUUAAGCAGAUUACAUGUUUGGUUGCUGUGAAGUACCAGAUAGGCUAGUUCUAUUUUUUUCACGAUCCUGGAGUAUUUCAGCAGCGCCAUGCAAAUGCAGUAGCGUUAGGUUUCUGAUUCACCUUUUGUAAAAACUUAGUUAGCCCGCAGUCAGUCAGUAGUAGCUCAGCCAGCCAGCCAGCCUCAAAUAGUAUUGCUGGAAUGAAUGGUUGUAAUAUAAUAACAUUGCACGUUGCUUUGAAAAUGUAUCAGAACUGGGCUAGGCCCAAG
Molecule: long non-coding RNA, 61352 nt
Filed under: Triticum aestivum (bread wheat)
Lineage: Eukaryota; Viridiplantae; Streptophyta; Magnoliopsida; Poales; Poaceae
Description: long non-coding RNA (TAES_LNC023702)
Rfam family: MIR1120/MIR1122 microRNA precursor family (bases 44853-44977)
Source: RNAcentral